RNAcentral lists this long non-coding RNA (50345 nucleotides) under Populus trichocarpa (black cottonwood). RNAcentral's name for it is "long non-coding RNA (PTRI_LNC003739)". The record is from RNAcentral. Lineage: Eukaryota; Viridiplantae; Streptophyta; Magnoliopsida; Malpighiales; Salicaceae.
GGGCUUCAUCACCUCACCUCUCUUCAGGUAUUGGGUAUCGAGGGUUGCCAUAAGCUUGAGUCCAUAUCAGAGCAAGCGCUUCCCUCCUCCCUUGAAAACCUUGAUCUCAGAAAUCUAGAAUCUCUGGACUACAUGGGGCUUCAUCACCUCACAUCUCUUCAGAGAUUGUAUAUCGCGGGCUGCCCUAAGCUUGAGUCCAUAUCAGAGCUGGCGCUUCCCUCUUCCCUUAAAUACCUUUAUCUCAGAAAUCUAGAAUCUCUGGACUACAAGGGGCUUCAUCACCUCACCUCUCUUUACACAUUGAAGAUCAAGAGUUGCCCUAAAGUUGAGUUCAUAUCAGAACAGGUGCUGCCCUCCUCCCGUGAAUACCAGGGGCUUCAUCACCUUACUUCUCUUACAAAUUUGAGUAUCAAGAGUUACCCUAAACUUGAGUCCAUAUCAGAACGGGCGCUGCCCUCCUCCCUUGAAUACCUUCAUCUCUGUAAACUGGAAUCUCUGGACUACAUUGGGCUUCAGCACCUCACCUCUCUUCACAAAUUGAAGAUCGGGAGUUGUCCUAAACUUGAAUCGUUGCAGUGGCUGCCUUCCUCCCUUGAAUUCCUUCAGUUAUGGGAUCAGCAAGACCGGGACUACAAGGAGCUUCGGCACCUCACCUCUCUUCGCAAAAUGCAGAUAAGGAGGAGCCUUAAGCUUGAGUCCUUUCAAGAAGGCACACUUCCCUCCUCCCUUGAAGACCUUGAAAUCUGGGAUUUGGAAGAUCUGGAAUUUAAGGGGUUUCGGCACCUCACCUCUCUUCGUGAAUUACAUAUCUGUAGUUCUCCUAAGCUCGAGUCCGUGCCAGGAGAGAAGCUGCCCUCCUCCCUUGUAUCUCUUCAAAUAUCAGGUCUGAUAAAUCUGAAAUCUGUAAUGGGGCUUCAGCACCUCACCUCUCUUCGCAAAUUGAUUAUCUCGGAUUGUCCUCAGCUCGAGUCCGUGCCAAGAGAAUGGCUGCCCCUUUUCCGAUAUGAUGAUAUUAGACGUUGUCCUAAACUUAAUUUGGUUAUAGGAGACGGUCUCACUAUACCAUUUUCCUAGUUUUGUACCCGCGCUCCGCGGCCGAGCGGUUAUUUCUUUUAAGUAAACAAAAAUUAAUAAAUAGGUUUUACAACGCAUUCUUUAAUAUACAAUAUUUUUCUAUCAUAAAUAGAAAUGUCUAUAUAUAUAUUUAGUAAUUAGAUCAAUAGUUGAUAAAGAGAUAAUUAAGAAUAAAAUAUUUAAUCUUACAAUAUAAAUAAUUAAUAUAUUUAGUUAUGUUUAACAAUUAUAUUUUCUAAAGUUUUUUUUAUAUAUAAAACAAUUAUAUGUGCCAAUAAAAGGUUAAAAAAAAAUCAUAUCCAAUGUAAAAUGAAGAAAAUUAAAAAAAAAAUAUGUCAAACUGUAUAAAUAUGGUAACAUUGUGACAAUAGACACAUGAUUGAGAUAAUUUUAUAUAAAGAAAAAUGAAAUAAAAAGCACAAAUACCAAUUCUAAAAAAGUUAAAUGUUGAAGGAUGAAAUUGAAAAAACACAAGGAUAUUUGAUUUCGCAACAUGGUUCAUGCACUAAGCCGUGUUUAAUAGCUUUGUUUUUUAGAAUAUAUUUUUUAUUUAAUCAAACAAUUAUCUAUGCAAAUAAAAGAUAAAAAAAAAUCACAAAUAAAAGCAAAUUGAAUCAAAUCAUGAAGUCAAUUAUAAAAUAACUCAAUGUUGAAUGAUGAAAUUAAAAAAAUAAUAAUUAAGAAAAACAAAAAAAAUAUGGGUCAACCCUUAUUAAUCCGUUAACAUUGCGACCAUUGGUACAUAAUUGUGAUAAUCCCAUAAAAAAUAUGAAGACCAACUUUUAGAAAAAUUAAAUGUUGAAGGAUGAAAUUAAUAUAUAUAUAUAUAUAUAUAUAUAUAUAUAUAUUAAAAAAUGACUAAAAAAACUACUAGAGUCAACCCAUGUUAACAUUUGAAAUUUGUAAUUGUGAUCUUGAGACCAAGACUACUCACGCAUCAGUCAAACCCAAAAAAACAACAAAGUAAAUUUCUCAAUAAAAAAAUGUUGAGGCAUGAAAAUUUCAAUAAAAAAACAACAUGAAAAAAAUAUGAAUAAACCAGGGUUAACUCGCUAACCUCACGACCAUGGAAACAUGAUCAGGAUAACCCUAAUGAAAAGAAAGUGAUAAAGAAAAGCACAAAGAAUAACACUAAAAAAAAUAAAAGUUGAGGGGUGAAAUUAAAAAAACAAAAAAAACCAAAGUCAACCGUUGUUAACUUUCAAAACUCAUGAUUAUGCUGUUGGGACUGACCAUAUAAAAGGCAAACCCAAAACAAAACAAUAUAGCAAAAUUCUCAGUGAAAAAAAGUUGAGGCUUGAAACUCAGUAAAAAAAAGCAACAAAAAAUAUAUGAGUCAACCCAAGUCACCCAUUUGACUAUGGGCAUGUGAUUUAGAUAAUCUUAUGGAAAGGAAAGCAAAAAAAAAAAAACAAUAAAACCAAUUUUAUAAAAAUUAAAUAUUGAAGAAUAAAAUUAAAAAAAUUAAUUUUAUAAAAAAGACUUGAAGAAACCAAAAUCAACCCGUGCAAACCUUUAAAAGUCAUGAUUCAAUAAUAAUAAAAAAAAAGAAGCUAAGUGAUGAAAUCAUUAAAAAAACAAUAAAAAAAAAUUAUUCAAAACAUAAUAAACAUAAGUAAAAAAAGAAUAGAGAUCAAAUUCAACACUAAAAAAAUAAAAAUCAAAUAAUGAGAAAUAAAAUCAAAACAAUAUCUAAUUAGAUUAAGGAUUAAAAAGUGUCAAAAAAAAGUGUCAAAUUUGAUCUAAAAAUAAAAUAAAGUAAAAUAAUUAGAGAUAAAUAGUAAUAAAUACUAUUUUUAUAAAAUAAAAAGAAAAAAAUAAAAAAAAAAAUAAAAAUCAAAACACAAUAUAUAACAAAAAAAAAGUAAUAUAAAUGUUUAUGUCACAUAACAACCAUUGGUUCCAAACAAAACCUGAAAAUAAAAAAACAAGACACCUGCCGUCAUUAGGUCCGGAUUUGCCUGAAAGGCAGAACUGCACAUGCAUUUUCCAUAGCAUGCCAAAGCCAAAUCAAUCUUACCCAUAGCGAGAAUUAAAACAAAACAAAAUAGUAACAACACCAAAAACAUCCUUUAUUCAUUGUUAAAGGUCUUCUGAAAUAAGAUUGGUUUCAAUGGCAAGUGGAAAUCAUAAAGAGAGCAACGAAAGGACAAAAAUCGAUCAAAAAACCCUUACUGAAAGAAUAAACAACACACCUUCGCCUCGUGUGUUCUCCAUCAAUUUGUUCAAGAGAAAAAGGACAAGAACUGUAGUAUCACCACCUCCAUCCUCUCUCAGUAGCUUCUUCUUCUCCAAUGUGCAUACCUUUUUGGUUCUCACAUGCCUCCUCUCCCUCUUCUGAAUCAUGACUACAAUUGAAGAAAACAACUCUAAUCCCACCUAAGAACAAUGCUCUAAUAUCAAAUUUGAUACGAGACAAAAAAGAUUGAAGUUGAAGAAGAAAGAAAAGAAGAAGAAGCCCGAAAAAGAAGAAAAAGCUGAUCAAAUACUAAAACCAUAACUAGAAUAAAUAAUUAAGUUUAUAAUCCACUAAAUAAAAUACUAAAAAAUAAUUAAAUCAAAUCCAACAAAUAAUAUCUAAUUAAUAAAUUUCAACUAAAAGUUCAAAUAAAUAAAAUUAAAACAUAAGCUAAAGCUUAAUCGCUUAAUGAUUUGGACUACCCUCUAUCAUUUAUGAUUAUAUGAAUACAUGUUUCGAGUCAGUAUCCCCACAUUUUUUUUGUUUUUGGUGGAAACAAAAAGAGGUGCAUAUGUUUUUGUUAGGAAAAAAAUUUCUUGCCCUAAAAUAAGAAAAAAAAGUUGCACCUAGAGGUGAUCAUUUUCGGUUCGGUUCAGUUUUUAUCAAAAAAGUAACCAAAUGUACUACAUACUUUUUACCGAUCGAACCAAAUGUACUAUAUUAUCAGUAGUUGUAGCUACUUCUGAAACAGUUGGUGCGAUGGGUGCGAGUGAAGGUGCUGGCAUAGGAGCGGCAACACUAGUCAUACCUUCCACUACUGCUUUGAGUAGCUGGGCUAGGAGCAUCAAAUCAACAUAAGAAACAAAUGGCCUUCCAAGUGUAGUCUGUGGGGGCUCCUCUGCUCGUUCCGGUAGGGUUGACACGGUCGGCUGAACAUCCCCAGCUUGCCUCGGUACUUGUCUGACUUGAGGCCCCGUCGAUUCUUCAUGCCUUGCUUGCUUCGAUACUGCUGGUGCAUGUCAAGCAGUAUCUUCUAAAAGGCUCUCUUCUCGUCCCUCGUAAAAGUCUAUAUCUCUGUUCCCCUUCCCUAUAGAGGAUAGAUUUGUUCUAAUCUCUUGGCGAGUACGUACCAUCCUGCAAUAAAUUAAUAACAUCAUUACCCUUUGUUUCGAGUUUUUCCCAAAAUCCAUACGAGGGCUCUAAUACCAACUAUAACAAUCCCACCUUUUCAAUUUCGUCAACACUAAAAGAUCCCAAUAUAUACUCUUAAUUUGAGGGUAAAUUGUUUUUUUUCUUAUAUAUAUAUAUAUAUAUAUAUGAAAGUCUACCGAUAUUUUCACUGAAAUUUUGGCAAAGUUCCCUUUGUAUUUAGAACGUCCCAAGUUAUCGACUUCUUUCAAUUUACCCAUUCAAGCCAUCAAAACAAGGUCCCAUAAUUUUGAACUUUAUUUUACAUCAUUAAUACUCAACUCCUCAUACAAUUCAUGCACACAAUUUAUACACACACACACACACACACACACACCCUACGAAUAAGAUCAAUAUAAAUAUAGCCCAUAUAUCGUAUAAUAAAGUCUAGAAGAAAAAGGGAUACUAACAUGUAAUGAGAGAAUUUAAAACAUAACAUCAGUAUUCUUAAAAGUUUCAAAGGGUUAAAAACAAAGUAGCUAAGGAGUUCUUACUCAUACAUUAUAUCAAAGUUUACAUAAUUAACAUACUAUAUGCCGAGCCAAUAGUUUUGUAUACAUCAAGGUUUACACAAAAGCAUAUUGCGUAACCUAGCUAAUACUAUUAUGCUUGAGCUAAAUGUUUUUACAUAAGUUUAGCAAAGCAGAGUCCUAAAAACUAAUGAGCUCCCUGAGUAUUAGAUGGACCUGUUACAAUAACAACUUAAUAAGCAUACAAUUAUAUUGUCAACAGAAACAAAAAUGAUCAUAUAAUGAAUACAAAUAAAGCAUAAGUUUUCUAUUAGUUUCCCAAUAAUUUUAAUAAUCAACUUAUAAAUUCUUUCAUAUAUAUUUAAAAACUCAAUUAGACAUCAUUUACGUAUUCUUAAUUGAAUACUCUUAUUUUCUUGUAUGAACCUAGUACCUUUGCCUAAUUGGUUUUACUAAAUCUUUAACUUUGCAUAGUUCCACUUGGAUAGUUUAGGUAAUUAUACUUAUCAAUUCUCUCAGGUCAUCCAAACAUGGAUACCUUUUCCGAAUCGAGCCUUAUCGAUCAUUCCCAGGCAUCCUGACAUGGACGUCAUUAGCUGAAGCGAAUCUUGUAAUUCACUUCCCAGCAAUCCUAUCACGGAUGCCAUUAGCCUAAGAUAAUCUUGAGAUUCAUUUCCCGACAAUCCUAUUACGAAUGCAAUUAGCCGAAGCUAAUCUUGUAAUUCAUUUCCCGGUAAUCCUAUCAUGGAUGCUAUUAGCCGAAGCUAAUCUUGUUAAUACACCGGACUUUGUUUACAUUAAACAUAACUUAAUUGUCAUUGUCUUCAUCGGGAAGACUUUAAAUUACAUAAGAGUAAAGGAGAGGUAAAACCACGCACCUUCUCCGCCUGUCUCGUGACCUCCUUCAACAAAAGAUCCAAUCCUAGUCGCUCCGCCUAAAUCACAAAGAAGUCUUUGGUCAUGUUUCCUUUAAGCUAAAUGUUUAAGGAAAUCCAUAUUCAUUCAUUAUACAUAUGGUACUUUCCAUGCAUGUUCAUUUCCUCAUCAUAACAUACAUAUACAUAUCAAGUAUAUAUUUUCAAGGUUUUAUAUCAACGUGCAAGUGCCCCUACGACUAAGUUUGUUUUUGCAUCAACGUAAAUUAGUGACUUAUGACUCAUAACUGGAGUCUCAUAACUUUAAAUAAAGCAAACUUUGGUCAAUAAAAAGGUAACACAUUUAUCCAUAAUUUCAUUAAGGAUCAUGCAUGAAACUCUGUCAAUAUCAAAUCACAAACCAAAAAAGAAGUUAGACAGCAAAUUUGUCCAGCAGCUUCUAGCCUAACCUCCUCUCAGUAUUUUGCCUAUAUAUGGAGUUCUAUAACUCCUAAUAAAGUGAACUUUAUACCAAUUAAAAGGUAACACAUUUAUAUAUAACUACAUGGAGGAAAAUGCAUCAUACUCUAUCAAUAUAAAAUCCCAAACCGAACAAGAAGUUAGACAGCAAAUCUGUCCAGCAGCUUCCAGCCUAGCCUCCUCUAAGUAUUUUGCUUAUAUAUGGAGUUCUAUAACUCUAAAUAAAGUGAAAUUUAUGUCAAUUGAAAGGUAACACAUUUAUAAAUAUCCACAUGAAGGAAAAUGCAUGAUACUCUGUCAAUAUCAAAUCCCAAACUAAACAAGAAGUUAGACAGCAAAUCUAUCCAGCAGCUUCCAACCUAACCUUCUCUUAGUAUUUUGCUUGUAUAUGGAGUUUUAUAACUCUAAAUAAAGUGAAAUUUAUGUCAAUUGAAAGGUAAUACAUUUAUAGAUAUCCACAUAAAGGAAAAUGCAUGAUACUCUGUCAAUAUCAAAUCCCAAACUGAACAAGAAGUUAGACAACAAAUCUAUCCAGCAGCUUUCAGCCUAACCUCCACUUAGUAUUUUUCCUGUAUAUAGAGUUCUAUAACUCCAAAUAAAGUGAAAUUUAUGUCAAUUGAAAGGUAACACAUUUAUAGAUAUCCAUAUGAAGGAAAAUGCAUGAUACUCUAUCAAUAUCAAAUCCCAAACUGAACAAGAAGUUAGAUAGAAAAUCUAUCCAGCAGCUUCCAGCCUAACCUCCUUUUAGUAUUUUGCCUGUAUAUGGAGUUCUAUAACUCCAAAUAAAUGAAAUUUAUGUCAAUUGAAAGGUAAGACAUUUAUAGGUAUCCACAUGAAGGAAAAUACAUGAUACCAUGUCAAUAUCAAAUCCCAAACUGAACAAGAAGUUAGACAACAAAUCUAUCCAGUAGCUUCCAGCCUAACCUUGUCUUAGUAUUUUGCCUGUAUAUGGAGUUCUAUAACUCCAAAUAAAGUGAAAUUUAUGUCAAUUGAAAGGUAAUACGUUUAUAGAUAUCCACAUGAAGGAAAAUGCAUGAUACUUUGUCAAUAUCAAAUCCCAAACUGAAUAAAAAGUUAGAUAGAAAAUCUAUCCAGCAGCUUCCAGCCUAACCUCCUCUUAGUAUUUUGCCUGUAUAUGGAGUUCUAUAACUCCAAACAAAGUGAGAUUUAUGUCAAUUGAAAGGUAACACAUUUAUAGAUAUCCACAUGAAGGAAAAUUCAUGAUACUCUGUCAAUAUCAAAUCCCAAACCAAACAAGAAGUUAGACAACAAAUCUGUCCAGCAGCUUAACCUCCUCUCGGUAGUUUGCCUAUAUAUGGAGUUCUAUAAUUCCAAAUGAGGUAAGACCAGUGCCAAAAGUUAGCUAACUCAUUUAUCUACAACUUUCAUAUGUAAUGUUAUAACAAUUUCAAUCGACUUCUAUGCCUAACAUUAGCAUAAUUUCUAUACUUACAUAUUUGUAAUGGAAGUAACAUACAAACAUGUUUAAGUUUCUGUUUCAGCCCUUGAUUUAGCCUUAGGAUAACUAUGUAAGGUCAUAAUUAGCAGAGAUUAGUAUCAAAUUUCUAUUCUCUUUCUUUCUACUUUCAUGGUCGUCCCUAAAGAGGAUUUGUUCCACUAAUUUCUAUCAUUUUCUUUUGUCAUAGAAGCUGAAAAUGUUUAACUUCUCAUCUCAACCUUUUAAUUUCAUCAUUUGUUUUUUUUUUGUCAAAAUCAUGAAGUUCUAGGAACCCUAAAUUAUUUAUAUUGGGGUUUUUUCCCCCUUUGGAUUCAAAACAAAUCAAAUUAACAAUAGAAUAGCAAGGGCUUAUCCUUACCUCACGAUUUUAUCUAAAGAUGGAAGGUGUUUUCUUGAUGGUUUUCUUCUUCUCCUCUUUAUCACUGUUUCAGCCGGCCCUUGUGCCCUCCAAACCUCAAGAUUUUAUGGAUCUACACUUCCUAAUUACUCUCCUCUCUCACGUAGGUUCAUGCAAGGUGUUUUGGGUGAGAAAUGUGUGCAAUAAAAGGGAGCCAAUCUUCUCUCUUCAACUUGUUCUAAUUGAAAGUGAGAGGAAAGGUCAGGAAUUCUUUUUUUUUUUUUAAUGUAUUUAUACUCCCUUAUAUAUGCCUUAGGUCUUGUUUGGUAGUUUGGUCAAAUUUGUUCCUAACAUUACUUUUCUCCUUGUUGUGUGCUUUAGUUCUUCAUUUCACAAUUUGUUUAACAUCUCUCCCUCAUCCUUCCCUUCACACAUUUUAAUCCUUAGACAUUUGUUAGUUUUUAUACCCAUAUUUUUGUAAAAUAUUUGACUUCGUAAUUUAUUUUCUUAUUUUGAAUUCACCCUAUAAGUAUUGAAACAUUUUUAUUUUCUAAAAAUUUCAACUUGGGGUUUACAUAACCUUUAAGAAGAAGUGAAAAGAAAAGGUUGAAGCAGACAUCAUGAUUAUCCAAAAUGCAAUAUUUGAUCCCUGGUCCCAACAACAAAUCCAUAGUUAUCACAAAGAUCUAGUCCAUUUCUUUUGCCUUCCUUCUCUUACUUUUCUAGCUAUUUUUUCCUACUUUCUACUAUCCAUUCUAGAGCUUCAGAUUCUUAUAUUGUACAUAGAAUUUGAGUCUAGUUUUUUAACAGUUCAUAAACCUCGAUCCAUCAUACAAUUUCUCAAGAUGAUGCUGUUAUAAUUUAAAAAAACUAUUUAUAGAAGAUUUAUCUUCAAGGACAAGAGUUGAAUCCUUAAUAGCACAUUUAUACUCCCUACUUUUCAUCUAAAUUUCUUUAACAAGUAAGUCAUAUUUACUUUGUCAUUAUAUUUAUGUCAUCUAGAUUAAUACUAGUUAGAUGGUCUGCGCUAUACCGUGAGCCAACGUUUUAUUUUCAUAAAAAAUAUCAAAAAAAUAUAAGACCCAAGAGCGUUGAGUCUAACUGUAACACUGGAUCUAAAAGCAUUGAGUCUGACUGUAACACUAGAUCUAAAAGUAUUGAGUCUGGUUGCAACACCAAACUCAACAAUAAUAUUUAUAAUAUAAAUAAUAAUAUUUAACUUGUCUGCCUAUAUUGUUAUAUUUUUAAAUCUUUAAAAAAAAAUUAUGAUUUUUCUUCAAUAGUAAUAAUAGUAUUAUUUUAAAUUUAUUAAUAAUAAUGAUAAUAAUAAUAAUAAUAAUUUUUAAUUUUACCUUUUAAAUCAAAUCUAUGGUGGUUUUUCAAUAUUGAUAAUAAUGUUUUUCAAAUUUAUUAAUAAUAUUAAUUAUAAUAAAAAUAAUAACAUUUAUAAUACAAAUAAUAAUAUUUUUAAUAUUAAUACUAUUAAUUAUAAUAAAAAUAAUAAUAUUUAUAACACAAAUAAUAAUAUUUUUAUAAUAAUAUUUUUAAGUAUAAUAAAAAUAACAAUAUUUAUAACACAAAUAAUAAUAUUUAGAAACCUAAAACACAUUAGUGUUGGAACUUGACGCCGGACCCAAGAGAAUUAGAUCCUAACACAGGUCUUAGGAGAAUUGGGUUCUAAAACAAGACCCAUUACCCUUGGAUCCUGAUGCUGGCCCCAAGAGAAUUGGGUUGUAAUGCAAGUGAGUUGGGUCCUAACGCAUGACCCAUCAGCCUUGAGUUUUGAAGCCGAACCCAAGAUAAUUGGGUCCUGAUGCAAUUCCCAAGAGAGUUAGGUCCUGACGUCGGACUGAAGAGAAUUAAGUCCUGACGCAGGACCCACUACUUAUGGGUCCAAACGCUGGAUCCAAGUGUAAACCCCAAUUGAAAAUUAGUCUGAAAAGCAAUUUAAAUGCUUAUAGAAUAGAUUUAUCAGAAGUACCAAAUAAGCAUUAGAACAAACCAUGUAAAAUAAAAAACAGAAAAGUGAAUAAAAUAUUACUAAGAGUGAAUUACCUAGAAAUAAAAUUAUCAAUAUGUAACUAAAUGAAAAUCGAAUUCACCCGGAUAAAAAGUUUAUACAGAGAAAUACUAGGAUCCAAGAAUUUUAUCUCAUGAACAAGAAAUUUACUAUUUAGGAUAUAGAGGGAAUUUGGUAAAAAGUUUAUAUAUAUAUAUAUAUAAGUGUGCAUGUGUGUGGGCAAGAAGAAAAAAGAGAGAAAAAGAAAUAGAGAGAAAUAGGGGAAACUAUCAUUUACAUGUGAGAGAGAAAACAAAAUGAUAAAAACAUAAAAUCUUAAGAGGAGAUCUUGAGGGAACAUUAACCAAACUUAGUGAGCAUUAAUUGGAAGGAAGAAAAACCUAGAAAAAAAGGAGGGAAGUUCAACCAAGAUUAAAGAAAAGAGGAGUUGGAAGCUUGAAUUGGGUAGUGUUUAGAGUCUUAUUAUUUGCUUGGUAGGGCAUUCUAAAGACUUUUAAUUUGAUUUUUAAUGGCUUAAAGUCUUUAAUUGAUUGAAUUUUUGAAAUUUGGAAAGUUAGGGUUCUUGAAUGAAUUUGGAAGAAAUAAAACUUUACUGUAAAUUAUCAUGGGGAAUAAUGUGAAAGUUAGAGUAAAGUAAUUAAAUUAUUGUAGUUGAAGUAAAAAAUUUUGAUAAUUAAAUAGGGCUAGUGGUUAACCAAUGAUGAGAGUUUUUCAAUCUUAUUUUAUGCUACUCUGUUAGUGCUUUAUACUCCAUGAUGUGAAUUGAUGAACAAUGUAGGCAAUAGAACUAUUUUUUUGAAUAUCUCUUUACAACUUCUUAAAUUUCAUGGAGAUGUCUGAUGAGGAAUAUAGUUGAUUGUUGGUCCUUAUUAGAUUUUGUAUGUAAUGGAGUUAUGAGACGUUAAUAAUUCAUUAGAGAUGUUAAUUUGAUGGCUAAAAUCCAUGAAAUUCAACGGGACUAUUACAAAAGGUGAGAUAUUUAAGACAGUAACAAAUCAAACAUUAACAGUUGAGGUUUAAGACAGUAACAGAUCAAAUAGUAACGGUUGAGGUCUAAGACAGUAACAGAUCAAAUAGUAAUAGUUGAGGUCUAAAACAGUAACAGAUCAAACAUUAACAGUUGAGGUCUAAGACAGUAACAGAUCAAAUAGUAAUAGUUGAGAUCUAAAACAGUAACAGAUCAAGCAAUAACAGUUGAGGUGUAAGACAGUAACAGAUCAAGUAGUAAUGGUUGAGGUCUAAGACAGUAACAGAUCAAACAUAUAUAUAUAUAUAUAUAUAUAUAUAUAUAUAUAUAUAUAUAUAUAUAUAUAUGAGAACUGAGUUGUGUGGACACUUGCACGUUGAGAUACUGACUCUGAAAAUAUAUAUGAUAUGUGUAUAUAUGUUAUGAUGAAGAAAUAAACAUGCAUAAAAAGUAACAUAUGUGUAAUGAAUGAAUAUGGAUUCAGGAGGAGUGACCAUGAUUGGAUCUUCUGUUGGGGGAGGUCACGAGACAGGCGAAGCAGGUGCGUGAUUUUCCCUCCUCUUUGCACUUAUGCAAUUUAAAUAUAUUUUUUUGGUGAAUGCAAUUACAAUAAAUGUCAUGUUCAAUGUAAAUAAAAUCUAGCAUAUUUACAAAAUUAGCUUCGGCUAAUAGCAUCUGUGAUAGAAUUGCUAGGAGAUGAACUACAAGAUUAACUUUGACUAAUGUUGUCCGCGUUGGGACGCCCGAGAACGAUUGAUAAGACUCGAUUUGUAAAGGGUAUCCGUGUUUGAAUGAUCUAGGGGAAAUUGAUAAAUAUAAUUGCCUAAAAAUGUCUAAGUUGGACUAUACAAAGUCACCCGGUUCAUGCAAGUAAAUAAGAGUAUUUAAAUUAAGGAUAUGCAAAUGAGUUUUAAUUGGGUUUAAAUGAUUUACAAGCAAAUUAUAAGUUGAUUGUUAGAAUUCCUAUGGAUUCGAUAGAAAAUUUAUACUUCAUUCGUAUACAUUACAUGAUCAUAUAUAUUUCUUUUAUCAACAUAAUGGUAUGCUUACUUAGUUGUUUGUGUAACAUGUCCAUCAACUGUCCAGGGAGAUCAUUAGUUUGGGACUCCACUUUGUUAAGCUUAUGUAAAUAUUUAACUUAAGCAUAAGGGAAUUAACAUGAUUAUACAAUAUGUUUUUGUGUAAAUCUUGAUGUAUAUAUAAAAGUCUUAGCUCAACAUAUAGUACAUUAGUUAUCUUGUAAUUAACUCUUUUGAAAUGUUUAAAAAUACUUAUUAUAUUUUAAAUUUUCUCUUUACAUGUUAGUAUCCCUUUUUCCUUUUAAAUAUUAUAAUAUGAUUUGUGGGAUAUAUAUAUAUAUAUAUAUAUAUAUAUAUAUAUAUAUAUAUAUAUAUAUAUAUAUAUAUAUAUUGUGUGGAUUGUAUGAGGUGUUGAAUAUUGAUGAUUGAAAUAAAGUCUGAAAUUAUAGGACCUUAUGAUGAUGGGUUGAUUGAGUAAAUUGAUAGUAGUCGAUAACUUGGGAUAUCCUAAAUACAAACGAAACUCUACCAAAAUUUUGGUAGAAAUCUUUACAAAAACAAUUACCCUCAAAUUAAGAGCAUAUGAUGGGGUCUUUUAGCGUUGAUCAAAUUGUACAGUUGAGUCUGUUACAGUUGGUAUUAGAGCCCUGGUAUGGAUUCUAGGAAGAAUUCAAAAGAGGUUAUUGAUGUUUGUUAAUUUAUUGCAGGAUGGUACGUACCCACCAAGAGAUUAGAUCAGAUCUAUCUUCAACAGGGAGGGGGAAUAAAGAUAUAGACUUUUACGUUGGGCAAGAAGAGAACCUUUUGAAAGAUACUGCUUCACAUGCACCAGCAGUAUCGACUAAAGCAGGGCAUGAAGAAUCGAUGGGGCCUCAAGUCCGACAGGCACCAAGACAAAGGACCCAUUAGCCUUGGAUCCUAAUGCCGAACUUAAGAGAAUUAGGUUCUGAUAGAGGACCCAUUACAUUUGGGUCCUAACGUCAGAUCCAAGAAAAUUGAGUGUUGACGCAAGACCCAUUAGCUUUGGAUCUUGACACUGAACCAAAGAGAAUUGAGUUCUGACACGGGACCCAUUAGCUUAUGGUUCUAAUGCAGGACUCAAGAGAGUUUGAUCCUAACACCAAAUCCAAGAGAAUUGGGUGUUAACGCCGAAUCCAAGAGAAUUGGGUUAUGACACAGGACUCAUUAGCUUGGGUCUGGACACGGAUACAUUACCAAUGGGUCUAGACGCCGGACACAACAACCUUUGGUACGAUACGAACCCCAGAGUGGGCUAGAUAGGGCUGCAAGACCCAAGUGAUUUGGGUCUGCUCUUUUGCCAAACCCAAGUAACUUGGGUGAGGCACCCCUUUCCAGCCCCAGGAUUUUUAGGUCUGGAAAGGGAUGCCUAACCCAAGUUAAUAACAAUAAUAUUAUAUUUUACCUUUAAAAUCAAAUUUAUGUUUUUUUAUAGUAAUAAUAUUUAUUUUAAUUUUAAUAAUAUUAAUUAAUUGAAUAAUAUUUAUAAUAAUAUUUAACUUAUCUGUCAAAGUUCUUAUAUUUUUUAAUCUCUUAAAAAAAACAUUAUAGUUUUUUUUCGAUGAUAAUAAUAUUUUUUUAAAAUUUACUAAUGAUAACAACAACAACAACAAUAAUAUUUAAUUUUACAUUUUAAAUCAAAUCUAUUAUUAUUUUUUAAUAAUAGUUUUUAUAAAUUUAUUAAUUAUUAUAUUAAUAAUAAUCAAAAUAAUAAGAUGUUAUGUGGGAGGGUCUGCACCCAUCACGGUUCUGGAGACCCAGGUAAUAUCACAUUAAUAGUGAAAGAUCUACUCAACCAUGAUUUUAAAAGUUUUCCUUGACGAACAUGCGACGUUUUUUAGCCAAGAAAAUACGAUGUCGUAGGGCAAUCUUUAAAAAUUAUUUUUAUUUAAUUCUGUGGUAAUUAAGAUAAAUACGUGUAGGAAUUCUGAUAAUUUAAAUUAUGGAGAAUAAACUUAUUCAUUGUUCAAUAAACACUGUGAUUUGUGAGUGUAUGCACAGUGUUGUUUUAUGUACAGAAAGAAAAGGGAGCCAUGUUUUAGUUUAUAGUGUUAGUGUUACUAUUUCAUGAGAAGCUAAUCCUGUAUUAGUUUUUGGUAGUUCAGAAAUUAAUGUGAUUUACUUAGCUAAUCCAGUUCCCAUGAGAAGCAAAAGAUCCUGUAUAAAGUUUUCUAUAAUGACAUUUUGUAUUUAAUUUUUUUGUUUUAAAAGAAGUUAAAUUUUUAUAAUUUUUUUCAAAAUAAUUUUUUAUUUUUUUAUAUUAUUUGAAUAUGCUGAUUUUAAAACUAAAUUCUAAAUAAUAAUAAAAAAUUAUUUAAAUAUAUUUUUAAAAAACAACUGAAUUUUUGCAGAAAACCCAGCUAUAAAUUAACAUCUUUAGCCCGUGACGGUAACCGGCAGUUCUACCCAUGACGGUGGCGGUGAGUCCUCCCAAUUGUACAUGUCGGAUCCUUCUUGCCCGGGACGGUGAUGGGCAAUCCCGCCUGUCAUUUCAGUGUGGCCCCAGGUGAAAUGAUUUUAAAAUAUAAAAAAAUUAGCUUUUAAUAAUUAAAUAAUUUUAAUUUAAAUUGAGGAAAAAAGACUUCUUAACAAAAUAAAACUUACGAUAUUACAGUAACAAACAUGCUAAAAAACAUCUUCUUUUUCAAAGCAUGCAACUACAGGACCAGCCAUAUUAAGCUGCUUGUGAUAUUACUCCUCAUACAACCAAAUCAAUCCAUAACCUACGAGAUUUAUUGCAACUCUUGCUUACUUUUCAAUUCCAUAACCUAUGCUUGCUUUCAAAUAUAUAUAUAUACUAACUUUGAACGACAAACAUGUUUGUAAAUUAAGAGUGAAAGGAAAGUUGAAAAUCACAGGGAGAGCCUUAUAUAUAUAUAUAUAUAUUACUCCUCAUAGAAUUUCAUGAAGCAUUGAGGUUCUGGGCGAGAAGUUGACCACUCCUGAUAUUCUGGGCUUCUUCAAAAGCCACAAGCUCAAUGAUCGAUGGUCUUCUGGGAAAGUUGAAAGAAACACUGAAUACCCUCAACGGACUUCUCGACGACGCGGAGGAGAAGUAGAUUACCAAGCCUGCUGUGCAGAAGUGGCUUAAUGAUGCUAGACAUGCUGUGUAUGAAGCUGAGGACUUAAUGGAGGUGAUUGAAUAUCAACAUCUACGAUCCAAGGAUAUUAAAGCUGCCUCUCGACGAGUUAGGAAUCGGGUAAGCAUAUGGUUUUGCUCUUGUAGACCUUGCUUUCUCGUAUAAUGUUAUUAUCGAUCCCUCUGAUUUUUACAAGCACAAUUCGAAAUUGUAAGAUAUCAGAAAAUUUCAUAUCUUUUCUUGAAAUAUUUCAUGCAAACAACACCCCUCAAUUAUGCUAAUUUAUCUCAUGCAACCAAUCCUAUGAUACUAUCCUGCAACCACUACUCAUUAUUAUUCCAACAAAUUCCAACCACUUUUUAAUAGCCCAGCCUGGCCAAGCUGUCAACUUAAUUAAAACAUGUUCAAUCUAGAAUUUGAAUUAAAUUGUUUUUUUUAAAACAAAAAUCAAAGUUGACCCAUUAAUUUUUAAAAAAACAUUAGCACUAAAUGUUAAAUAUUGGUGUCAUAACACCUUUGAAAAAAAAAUUAGUGGAAUAGCUUAUUUUCACAUUUUUAAUAGCAAUAUUUAGUAAAUAUUAUUUUUUUGAAGUGCAACAAAGUGAAAGUCCAAUUAUUUGACUUAAUUAGUUAGUUGAUUGAAUUUAAUUGUAUUAACUAGUCGAUUAUUUCACAUAAAAACCAUAAUUUUAUGAAUUUUUUCUUUCAAAUAUAAAUUAUGAGUCAAAAUAUACAUGUGUCUAACAUCUAGACUAAAAAAUAGAUUUCAAUUAAAGUUUUAAAAAAAUUAUUAUUUACAUAGUAGUUGUUAUCUAUUUUUCAAUGUCAAUUAAUGAUGUAGAAAAGCUUGUGACAGUAAGUGAUUCUAAGUUGUCAGAUGUUUGUUUAUCAUAACUAUAUAAGGAUUGUCCUAAAUAAAUUAAAUGUAUGACCUAACAAAUAUAUUUAUAGACCAAUAAAAUAGUUUGAAGCUUAAGAGGAGAUUUGAUCCCACAAAGCCAGAAUAAUAAGAAAAAAAACCAUAAUUUUUUAUUUGACUAUUGAAUUGCACUCAAAUUUUUAUAGGAGUUUUUAAAAACCACAUUCUCUAUUGUAGUCACUGCAUUGCUAUGUAGACUGUUAAAUCUUUAGAUAUAAAAAAUCUCGUCAAAACCCCUUGAUUUUGGUAUUUUUAAGAUUUUUAUUAUUAUUUUCGGAAUUAAUUGACUAAUUUCAUUAACUAUUAUGAACAAGUCAAUUAAUUAAGUCAAAUGAUUAAAAUUUUACCUUAUCAGAACCUUAUUAGAAACAUAACAUUUAUUAAAUGUCACUAUUCGAAAAAACGACAAUUAUUUUGUGAUGCUUAGGAAUAGUAACAUUUAAUAAAGUUUCCAUUUCUAAAUCCAGCUAGUAGAAGGAUGAAAGAGAUGGGAGCAGAGUUACAAAAGAUCCAUGAGAAGCUUGAACGUUUUACUUAUACACAAGGGUGAUCUGCGCCAUAUAGAAGUUACUGGUGGACGCAGACCAUUGUCAGAGAAAACAACUCCACUGGUUAAUGAAUCUAAUGUAUAUGGAAGGGACGCUGAUAAGGAAGCCAUAAUGGAGCACUUGUUGACACAACACACCACAGAUGGCUCAAAUUUACGUGCGGUCCCUAUUGUGGGCAUGGGCGGGAUUGGUAAAACCACUCUUGCUCUGCUUAUCUACAAAGACGAAAGGGUACAGCAACGCUUCCAACUCAAGGCCUGGGUCUGGGCUUCUCAACAAUUUGAUGUUGCCAGGAUUAUUAAGGAUAUUCUUGAUCAACGCAAGAACUUGCCGCACCAAAGAACCAGAUGAAUCUCUAAUGGAGGCAGCGAAAGGGAAAAAACUUCUUCUUGUUCUAGAUGACGCGUGGAACAUCGAGUACAAUGAAUGGGAUAAACUACUGCUACCUUUGCGGUAUGUGGAGCAAGGAAGUAAGAUUGUCGUGACAACACGGGAUCAAGAUGUAGCAAAAGUCACGCAAACUGUCAUCACCCCUCACUGCUUGAAAGGAAUAAGCGAUGAAUAUUGCUGGAAGUUGUUUGCAAGGGAUGCAUUUAGUGGUCUAAAUUCUGAAGCAGUCUCACACUUGGAAGCAUUUGGCAGAAAAAUAGUGAGAAAGUGCAAAUGUUUGCCGCUGGCAGCGAAAACUCUUGGUGGUCUUUUGCACUCCGUAGAAGAUGUCAAGCAAUGGGAGAAGAUAUCCAAUAGCAGUUUGUGGGGUUCGUCGAAUGAAAACAUCCCUCCAGCUUUAAAAUUGAGCUAUUAUUAUCUCCCUUCACACCUGAAACGUUGUUUUGCUUAUUGUGCAAUAUUUCUCAAAGGUUAUGUAUUCAAGAAGGAUGGAUUAAUCACUGAAUGGAUGGCACAUGGUUUUUUAUUCCAGCCAGAGGUGUUGAGGAGAUGGAAGAUAUAGGUGAAAAAUACUUUGAUGAUCUUGUCUCCAGGUCAUUUUUCCGGCAAUCACUUUAUGCUCCAUCAUAUUUCAGCAUGCAUGACAUCAUAAGUGAUUUAGUUGAAUACGUGUCAGGAGAAUUUUGCUUUAAGCUUGGUAUUAAUGAAUCGGGAUCUGGGUUGGAGGGUGAACAUUCAUGCUCGCUUCCAGAAAGGACUCGUUAUUUAUCAAUCACUUCAGCGGCAGUUCGGACAUUUCGUAGCAUUCAUGGAGUCCAACAUUUGCGCGCCUUGUUUCCACUAUAUAUUUUCGGGGAAGAUGAUAGUGAGGCACUGAAUGACAUCUGGCUAAAUCUUAAGCGCUUGCGAAGGCUAUCUUUAUGUCAUCUAAAAGAUAUUUCUUCUCAGUUGCUCAAUUCCAUUGGCAACUUAAAACAUUUGCGGCACUUGGACCUUUCUCGCACCGCCAUUAAAAGGUUACCUAAAAGUGUGUGCACUUUGUACUAUUUGCAAAGCUUAUUGUUAAAGAAGAGCCGACAUCUCAUGCAGUUGCCAUCCAACCUUUUCAACUUGGUCGCCUUACAACAUCUUGAUAUUGAGGGGACAAAUCUGAAAAAGAUGCCACCGAAAAUGGGGAAACUCACAAGGCUUCGAACUUUGCAAUAUUACGUAGUGGGAAAAGAGAGGGGGUCUAGCAUGAAAGAGCUGGGGAAGCUCUCACAUUUAAGGAAAAAACUUUCUAUUCGGAAUCUCAGAGAUGUUGCAAAUGCUCAAGAUGCUUUGGAUGCCAAUUUGAAGGGUAAGAAGAAGAUUGAGGAGUUGAGGUUGAUAUGGGAUGGCAAUACAGAUGACACCCAACAGGAGAGAGAAGUACUUGAGAAAUUGGAGCCUUCUGAAAUUGUGAAACAGCUUGCCAUUAAGGGUUACGGGGGUACAAUGUUUCCAGACUGGCUUGGAAACUCUUCUUUCUUAAAUAUGGUAGCGUUGACUCUUUCUGGAUGUAAGAACUGCAUCUCCUUACCACCAUUGGGGCAGCUGCCAUCUCUUGAAGAGCUCCAUAUUGAAGGAUUUGAUGAUGUCGUGGCAGUUAGUUCUGAGUUCUAUGGAAGCGACCCUUCGAUGGAGAAGCCAUUUAAAUCCCUCAAAAUAUUAAAGUUUGAGGGGAUGCGAAACUGGCAGGAAUGGAAAACAGAUGUAGCUGGUGCUUUCCCUCAUCUUGCAAAUCUCUUGAUAGCAGGUUGUCCCGAGUUAACAAAUGGCUUGCCUAAUUACCUUCCUUCUUUAUUGAUACUUGAGAUUCAAGCGUGUCCACAGCUUGUGGUUUCAAUUCCAGAGGCUCCCCUGCUCACCGAAAUCAAUGUAAAAGUCACUAAAACUUUCAUCCCCUCUCACCGCUGGAAUGCACUAAGCGAUGAAGAUUGCUAGCAGGUUCUUCUUGCAAGGUAUGCAUUUUAGGGAGAGGAUAUCCAAUAGCAGUAUGUUACUAAAAAAAUAUUUUUAAACUGUAUAUAUAUAUUUUUUAAAAUACACUAGGUAUAUUAAGUUUGUAAAGCAAUGGGAGGAGAUAUAUUAAGUUACUAAAACAAGGUGUUUAUCAUUUUGUUUGGUUGUCCAUAAGGUUUUGUUACGCAACUAUAUAAAAAUAAAAAUCAUAAUUUGUCGACAUUACGGCACAGAAUUGUGAAAUUCAUCCUCUCUUGCCAUCGAAACCUGAGAGUGUUUUGACUUUUGGAGUGGAGGGCAGAAAUAAAAUUGUAGUUAUAUUAAGUUAUAAAAAAAAUAGUUUUAAACUGUAUUUAAAAAAAAUACAUUAGGUAUAUUAAGUUACUAAAUUUUUUUAUUAAACUGUAUUUUUUUUUAAAAUACAUUAGGUAUAUUAAGUUUGUCAAGCAAUGAGAGAAGAUAUAUUAAGUUACUAAAAAAAUAUGUUUAUCACUUUAUUUUUAUUUCUCGUAAAAGUCGGUUACGCAAUCGAAUCGGGGAUGAUUGGUUGAAUGAUUGUUUGGUUACUUAUAUCGAAAAAAAUAUAUUUGAAAGUGUUGAUAAUGGAAAGAUUCUAUAACGUUUUCAGCAUAUGAAGUCUUGCAGGGAUUUCACGGAGCAUCUUUUUAUAAUAUAUGUGAAUUUUUAAAUUUUAUAUUAGAAGCUUAAAAUUUUUAGAUUUUUUAGAUCUUAAUUAAUUUAGUUAUAUUAUUUUGCUAUCUAUGAAAACUCGAUCUGGAUCCGUCCUUUAUCAAAUGAAGUAUAUAUCAUGUUGAAACCGGUAAUGAGUUUCGAUUGAUAGAAGAAUCAGGAAAAAAAAAUUAAAAUAGAUGUGCUUUGAGAGUGAUAAAAUAAUUUCAAGGAAUCAUAGUAAAAUAACUUAUAUGGUUCUAGCAAUAUUGAAAAAGAAAAUUUGGAUUUAGACAUAAAAUUAUAUAUUGACUAGUUUUACGCUAUUGAGCAUGACUCUCAAUUCGAUCUUUCGAUUGAGUUGAAAGUCCACAAGAAGACUUCUGAUAUAUUGCUCUAUCUUGGGUUAAAAGUUUAGGGUAGGCCAUCAUAGAAUAUCAACAGUCGAACUAAAAAUAACAUGUAGAUUCAUUAAUGAUAUUUUCAUAAAUAAGCUAGAAAAACUAAAAAUUUAGUUUCUUCUUCCCCUCUAAACUACCGGCUAGUGCUAAAACAACUAUAAUAGAAAAAACAAAUUGAGAGCUUACUCAUUGGAACCCUUGAAUCAAGAUUUAAGGCAAGAUAGGUGAGGGAAUAAAUAUUAAACACAUCUCGACUAAGUGCCAUCCUAUAAAUUUGUUUUCAAUUUGCAUUUGAUGAAAAAUAUACAAGGAAUCAUAAAUGAAUUAACUUAAGCAUUGCGAAGGAAAUAUCAAGAUAUCAUAAAUGUGUUGACAAGUUAAAAAGUUUUGAAACAACAAAUUUAAAUGAUAAGGGAUGAAGGAUGAAAAUAUUUAGUUGAUGAGAUUUUUUUUUGGUGUGAAAGACAUAGCAUUGAUAUUUCAAAAAUAAAUGAUGUGUUUGUCAUUUGCAGCCGAUCAAGGUGUAAUACCCAACAAUUAAUAAACUUGUAUCAUUAACAGGCCGAGCUGUUCUAUACAACAAUUGACAUGCAACUUCACGAGCUUAACAAUUGUUUUAUCAAGAUACACAUGGAGUUGCUUCCUUGCAUUGCAUGUUUGAAACUCAAUCUCUAUAAUAUUAUAAAUAGGUUAGCAUUGCAAUAACAAAAAAAAAAUAUGAUAACCAUGACAAUAAUAAUAAUAAUAAUAUGAAUAUGUAUAUUUUUAUUAGUUGAUGGAUCAAUUUGAAAGCAUCAAAGUACUUUUUUGUAAAAAUAAACUAAUAAAUGGUACACCCGAGGCAAAAUUAUAGCCAAUAUAGCUUGUUGGCCAAGGGAAAGUGUCACGGGGGUAUUUUUCGCUACGCGAAUAAACCCGUGCGGCAGCCUAGUCCUUCGCUAGACUCAGCCUUCCCUCACCAAUCUCACUCGUGUUUGCCUAAUAACUAAGCAAGCGGAAUACACAAGCAAGGAUAAGAAUCAUAGUGCACAACAAGCUUUACAGGAACUCUUUCCCAACCUUUAUUAAUCUCAUACACAAAGGAAACUAUACACAAAUCCGUAUGUGUGCUAUGCACAAAGAUUACAUGCUACACUAAGCUACCUCUAACUAGUGUUCUACACAUGUUCUUGCAUGCCCCUACAUGCUGGACAUUCCCAACCGAAUGCCCUUACAAUCUGAACAUUCCCACCUGAAUGCUCUCCCACAACCAAGAGCUACAUCUUGUAUUUAUAGACAAGCAAAGGAGCUGCAAAGGCUCCUCCCCAUUAUCCCCCAUUUUCAGGACCUAGUGGAGCACUACCUCUCUCCCAUGAUCCCAUGUUUUCAGGACAUGGUGGAGCACUACCUCUCACCCAUGAUCCCAUGUUCUGCCUCCCAUGAAGCUGCCACUCUCCUUAUUUUCUGGCUGUCUACUUGGCAGCCCCAGCUGCCAGCUUCUGCUGCGUCAGCUGCUGACUUAGAAGGUCCAUCAUCUAAGCCCCCACGUCCAUGUCAAGUCGCAAGCUCAAAGACUCGCAUAGACCAUUGCAUGCUGCCUGCCGAAUUCAUCUCUGCCUAUGCAAGGCUGCCGCGAUCCAUCGCUGCCGAAUUCUAAGCAGAGUGCCUUCGUUGGCGCGUCCCAGCGCCUAGAGCUCUUAGCCCAUGCCUUGGACAGUCCUUCGCCCAAGUUUUAGAUCGUGCCAAGUCGAGCCCCUGACUUGCACAAGUUUGCUGCGCGCUGCCGAGUCCGCAUCUGCAGGCAAGCUGCCAAUGCGCUGCCGAAUUCGCAUAUGCGUGCUGCCAAUCUCUGCGCUGCCGAAUUCGCAUCUGCGUGCAGGCUGCCCCUGUCUACGCUGCCGAAUUCUGCGAUAGUCCCAAUUCUCGUCAGCCUAUCCUCCUGACGAGGCUUGGACAGUCCCUCGUCCAGCCCAUGUUCGUCAACAAUCUGCGCUGCCGAUUUUCCCUUUGACGAACCUACAGCCGCAUAAAUCUGCGCUGACGAUUUCUCCCACUGAUGGCAUGGCUGCCAGCACCCUUCGGCCUUGUUUUGGCCAGCCUGCCGAAGCGUGCACCUCGUGCACAUUUGACACUGUGACAGAAAGAGUCUUUUCGUUUGUAGUUUUGGAGUAGCAAAUAAUGGCUUAUGAUAAGCAAACGUUGAUUCAUCUUGCUUAAUUCUAUCUAUCUAUUUUCUUCAUAGUUGAGCUUGCAGCACUUAUAAUCAACUGGAAACUUAUAUUCUUGACAUGAGAUCCUGUGAAGAAUUUCCAAAGCUAAAAGAAAUCAAUUAUUCUGCUAAAAAAUUGGUAAAGACAAACUAUUUCAUUAGAAAAUAAAAUAUUUUCAGCGAUGAAAUUGAUUAAAAAUUGAUUACGCAAUCGAAUCAGAGAUGAUUAAUUAAAUGAUUGUUUGAUUAUGAUUACUUAUAUCGAAAAAGAUAUAUUGAGAAGUGAUAAUAAUAAGAAAAUCCUAUAUUUCAACAUAUAAAAUCUUGCAAGGAACAAUUAUAAAUUAUAUAAAAAAGAAUUUCAUGAAUCAUCUUUAUAUAUAUAUAUAUUACAAAUUUAUAAUUUUAAGAUUUUUUAAAUCUUAAUUAAUUUAAUUAUAUACUUAUAUUAUUUUAUACGUUAAAACUGGAGUCCAUCCUUCAUCUUAAUGGCAUAGAUGAAAUAUCUUAUUUAUGCCCAUUUGAAGAUAAUUAAUCCAGACUUAAUCCACUUGAUGAUGCCUUAAUCAUGCUGAUAAAAAAAGAUUAAUACAUUAAGCACAAGUGUUGAUAUAAUCAGUGGCAGAGCCCCGGGGCUGGCAGGACCCGGCCUUGUAAGAAAAUGUUCUUGUCAAUAUUUUUUUAAUAAUAUUUAUAGUUUCAGCUCAAAUAAUAAAAUAACUGAAAUCUUUGCCUUCUAAAAUAUUUUUUUUAAUUUUAUUUUGUGACCCAGCCCUAAAUAUAAUAUAAAUAAUUUAAUAUUGUUAGGAAGUUUUAAACCGGCUUCCAUGAAUUUAAUAUUGCCUAUCAUUUCAGCGUGUCCCGAGGUGAAAACAUUUGGCCUUUUUUUUUAAUUACUGAAAACUUAACAUGUCAUGUGCUAAAUUCUUUUUUUUAUUAUUUACGUGGGGUGUCCGGGCCAGCUUACGCGCACCACGACUAUUCCCCACAGCCCGCUGGACAUCCUGCAAGCCCAGGAGCAGGUAAGGCACCGCGGAGGUGACAGGCGUGCACAUAGAGGGUCGAACCCGGGACGGGAGCGGAACAAGUCACACGAUUGACCACAACAGCUAGACCCUCAAGUGCAUCAUGUGCUAAAUUCUUGAAGAACCCAGUGAAUGCCAAAAUUAAAGAUUCAUUUUGAAAAUUAAUUUGAAAUAAAAAUGAAAAAAUAUAAUUUUUUUUCAAAAAUACUUUUACAUCCAGAAACAAAAAUGACCUUAUGUAAGGGACAUGCACGUAUCCACUUAGAUAUAAAACCCCAGCCAAGAAACCAAAGAAGAGAAGUAGAGAACGGUAGCUCAGGGGAGCGUUUGGCAUGGAAAAAUGAAAGGGCACGGUCGUAUAUAUUCUUUGGAUUUCCACAUUGGUAAUAUAUACAUGAAUUUGUUUUUAUAUUAAGAAUUAUGUUUUAUGAUUGUUUUAAAUAAAAUUUGCUUUAAAUUAAUAUUGUUUUAGUAUUGUUAAAUUAUUUUAAUGUAAUAAUAUAAAAAAUAAUUUUUUAUUUUUUUAAAUAAAAAAUAAUUAUUACCAUACUCACCAUCAAAACUUAACAAGUACGGUAGGUAUGCAUCAAAGAAAAACCAAAGGACGGUAGGUAUGCAUCAAUGCCAUAAAUAGAGUUUGUCUUGUUCAGAAGACUUUGAAAGUGGCUUCGUUGACUCUGCAGACACGAAGAAUAGUCAAAAGUCCUAAAAUUAACUCAUCUUUGCUAUCCACGGCGGCGCAUCAUUAGUGGGUUUGGAAAUUAACAUGGUGCUUCCGAUGAGCCAAGCUAUGUGUUCACAGUGAUUAAUUCGAAUGUGUAAGCAAUAUCGUUGCUAUCACCAUUUGCUUUGAAGGGCUAUUUAAAAAUAUAAUAGUAGUUAUUUCUUUAAAAUAUAUAUUAAAUAUAUAUAUUUUUUUAUUUUUUAAAAAUUAUUUUUGAUAUUAAUACAUCAAAUCAAAACAAAACAAAAAAUAUAAAAAAAUUAAUAUAAAAAAUUUAAUUUUAAAAAAACAUGAUUUUAAAUGCGAUCCCAUACAAUAGAUUAGAUAGAAAAAAAAAGGAAACUGGAAAAAAAACAUUAAUUAAAAUGAUAAAUAGAUAUAAAUAAAUUAUUUUUUCUUCAAAUUAGAAUCGUUAUUUUCUAUACACUAUUGUCGCUAAAAUUAUAAAAUCAUUUUAUAAUUUAUAAUCAUUUUCUAUAUAUUAUUGUUGCUUUUUUUCAUAUAUAUAUAUAUAUAUAAUCCUCACUAUGAAAUUCUGAAAGAGAGAACGGCGGCUAAAAGCAACAACAUUUUAGCUAGAUAAAUAAAGUUUAAUGACUUGAUAUGUUCUUAUAUUAUAAAAUAUUUCUUUGAUCUAUUUCUAUAUAUCUAAUUAAGUUAAUUUUAUUCUUUAAUAUAUAUUAAAUUUAUAAUUUAUCAUUCUUCUCAUGUAAACUCACUCCAAUUUGUCAUGUGUCUGUUACAUGCAAAACUAGAAGAUUAUAUUUAAAAUUUAACAUAUAUUUUAAAUAAAAUUGACUUAAAUAAAGAUAUAAUAGGUCAAUGAUAGAUAAAUAGCCCACUAUCGAAGGAUAUACUACGUUACUAAAAAAAAACCUGUUUAUCAAUUUGUGUGGUUGUCCACUAGGUUUUGUUCUCUCCAUUGAUAUUAAUUAUCAUCAGUAUCUGAAUGGCAUAGCAUAGGUUAAAAACUUAUUAUUAAUAUUUUAUGGAUGUACACAAGAAGAUAAUUAAUCCAUAAUAAUUUUUACGGUUUAACUGUCUAUAUAUUUUUAAAUUUUAUUAUUCGAUUAACAAAUUUAUUUAUACAUACCGCUUCCACGAGUUUUCUUGUCUCUUCCUUUCCUUUAAAGUCCCCGAAUUCCCAUCAUGGCUUAUUAGCUUUCUACUACUAUCAUUCUCUCUCUCACCCUUUCGCAAAAAUCGACAACUUCAUGACUCAGAAAUCUUGACCCCAUCUCCUAACAAUUCAUAGACAGGUAGGGUUCAGCAUUGCACCAUUCUUUUCAAGAACUGGUGGGAUGUCACAGAUUUCAAAUAGAUGGUAGGAAUGGACCUCUCGAUGAUAAGUAGGGCCCAAAUUGCCGCCCAAAGGCCAUUGUAGAUUCACGUUCAGAGAACAUCAGAUGCGAUGCUUAGCCGACAGUAGAGAAGAAUGAUUACUUCUGAAGAGAAUAUCAUUACAAAAUGAUCCCCGGCAAACAGUCAGGGAUGCCAGCACGGCCGGCUUACAUUGUUAAGCUUGUAACAAUCUAUAAUCAACUCGAAACUUAUAUUCUUAACCUGAGAUCUUGUGAAGAAUUUCCAAAGAUAAAAAGGAAUCAAUGAUCUUGCUCAGAAAUUAGUGGAGGCCAAGAAGGUUGUGGUUAGUAAUUUUACCUCGUGUGAAUAUAAUAUAAAUAAUUUAAUAUUGUUAGGAAGUUUAAAACCGGCUUCCAUGAAUCUUCUUGUCUUUUCUUUUCCUUUAAAAGUCUAUAUGGUUGUUCUCUUAAUGCAAUUCAUUGGAUUCUGCUUUCUACGGCCUUCUCUCUCACACCGUCCGCGAAGAUCCACCAUGGCUUCUGCUAUUGUCCUUUUUUUUUCUCUCCCGUCCUUUUGAUACUGUCGUCCUUCCGCAAAAAUCCACCAUGGCUCUGGGGUUGAGUAGAGGUUAAUUAUCUGUGCUGUCAUUGAGGUUUUGGUCGACAGGCUGUCCUCUCCUGAGGUUCUAGGCUUUUUCAAAAGACAAGCUCAAUCAAUGGAAAAGUUGAAGUUAAACAUUAAAUUAUUCUCCUUUUUUAUUUUUUUUCACAAGUAUUUAACCGUUCAAUUUGUAAGAACAUCAGUCUUUUUUAUAAGCCAACAAUUACACUUUUUAAAUUUGCUAUUAUAAUAAUUAUUUAUUUAUGUGAUAAUUUCACCAAUGUUUUUUUGGCCUUGUACCAAAUACCUUCUAAGAGUAAUACCAGAUGAAAUUUUUUAAAAUAUUUUUGAACCUCAUAGUUUCAUAUAUCUAUAUUUUAACCGUUAACUUCAUUUCUCACACGUUUCACUCUUUGACUAUUGAGUUUUGAUCCUUGCAAUUCUCAUAAAAGUACAUUUUGGUUCCUUAAGUUUUUAUUUUUAUUUUUGAUCCUUAUAAUUUCAGGUAUUUAUAUUUAAUUCUAAAAUUUUAUUUUCCUUACAUUUCAAUUCCUUUAUGUUGCGAUUAUAGAGAGAAAGUCGCUAGAAAAAAGAGAGGAAAGAGAAGUAUUUUGGUGAGUUGUAUUUCAAGAACAAAAAAUGUUGAUUUUGGAGAGUUGUAUUUUGAAUGAAACAGACCCAACCAAGGCCCCGAGUUACCCGGGUCCUGGGUUGACCCGUCAAGCGGGGCUGAGUUUGAUAACUAUGAUAACAACCAUGUCAGACCCAAGAUGUUAGGUAUAUCCUUGGAUCUAACGGCCAUAUCAGACCCAAUAGCCUUGGAUCUUACAUGACUACCAGACCUAGGGUCUGGUGAUUGGGUCUCGCAAUCAUGCCAGACCCCAACAUCUUGGACCUGGCUGCCAUGACUAAACUGAAAAAAAAAAAACAAAAUUUUGCAUAGUAACAAAUACAUAGUGAAAAUCCAACGUAUUUUAGUAUAUAAGUAAUAAAUUUAAUAAUUAACAUAUAAUGCAUGAUAAAAUUAGCAUUAAUUUUACCAGUGGCUACUGCAACAAUAAAGAAAAUAUUUUUAGCAUUCAAAUUGGUUAAAAAUCGAUUACAUGAUCAAAUUAGGGGUGAUUUGUUGAAUGAUUGUGUGGUUACUUAUAUCAAUAAAGAUAUAUUUAAAAGUGUUGAUAAUGAAAAGAUCCUACAAUGUUUUCACUAUAUGAAGUCUUGCAAUGAGCGAUUGUGAAUUUUAUAUAUAUAUAUAUAUGCAAUAUAUAUAUAUAUAUAUAUAUAUAUAUAUAUAUAUAGAAUUUUAUGAAAUAUCUUUUUAUAAUAUAUGUAAAUUUUUUAACUUUAUAUUAAAAAAUUAUAAUUUUUGGAUUUUUUAGAUCUUAAUUAAUUAAUGGAAAAGUUGAAGUUAAUUAUUAAAUUAUUCUCUCUUUUUUUCACAACUAUUUAACUAUUUAAUUUGUAAAUACAUCAGUCAUUUUAAAAAACCAACAUUUACACUUUUUAAAUUUGCUCUUAUAAUAAUAAUAAUUAUUUAUGUGAUAAUUUCAACCAUAUUUUUAAGCCUUAUACCAAAUACCUUCUAAGAGUAAUACCAAAUGAAGUUUUUUUUAACAAAACAUAUUUUUGAACCUAGUAGUUUUAUGUGUUUACAUUUUAACCGUAAACUUCAUUUCCCACUCGUUUCACUAUCUGAAUAUUGAGUUUUGGUCCUUGAAAUUCUCAUAAAAGUUCAUUUGGGUUCCUAAAAUUUUUUCUUUUAUCCUCGUAGUUUUAGCUAUUUAUUUAAUUCUAAAACUUUAUUUUCCUCACAUUUUAAUUCCUUGAUGUUACGAGUAUAAAGAGAAAGUCGUUAGAUAAAAAGAAAAGUAUUUUGGUGAGUUGUAUUUCAAGAACAAAAAAUACUGAUCUUAGUGUCCAUAAAUUUUUCUUUAAACACAUAACAAAAAAAAUUAAUAUUUUUUAAAAGUGGCCCUAAACAAAAUAAAAAAGAGGAGGUUUUAUCUAUUUUUUUGGUUUUUUAACCAGUCACAUUACUUUAUUUCUUUUCAAUUGCAUUCUUUAAAGCUAUAUUUUCAUGGCAACCAUAGCUAUCAAACCCAGCCUAGGAGUUAACCCGACUAAUGGGCUAAGUCCUGGUUUACACGAGUUGACUCGGGUCAACCAAGAAAAAUUUUAAAAAAAUAUUUGAGAUUUUAAUAUUUUAUAUGAAAAAAUAAGAAAUAAUCCAUAUGGAUAUAUGCUAUACAUGUUGUAAACAAUUAAAUUUAAAAGAUUAUUUCAAAAUGUUUUUUAUUCCACAUUGAAAAGAUACUAUCUUAUUCUUUUAAGUUAAAGUAUUUAAAUAAAAAAGGUUUUCUAUCCUACAUUGAAUAACCAUUAACUUUUUUAUUGUGAAUAUAGAAUAAAUAUAUAGACACAUACACACACUAAAAGACUUCAAAUUUUACAUUACAAAAAUAAAAUAUUUUUCUAAUAUUUAUAUACUGAACUUGAAAUGAGUUAGAAAAAAACUGAAAAUAUAUAAAAAAAAUCUCUAAAUAAAAGAAAAACACAUUUAAUAAAAACAGAAUCUCUAUCAAGUUUUUAUUGGGCCACCCGAGUUCCAGGUUUACCCAACAUGUUAACCAGUUUACUCCAGGCCACUUACACGUCCAAAUAUUGAAUGAAACAGACCACCAAGGCUUAUCAUUCUCUCUCACAUAAUCACUCUAUCACCCUUUCGCAAAAAUCCACCAAGGCUCCUGCUUUCCACUACUCCUUUUCUCUCACAUAUUCCGACCCUCACCCCUUCUGCAAAAAUCCACCAUGGCUCUGGAGUUGAUCGGAGGAUCAAUUCUCUCUGCUCUCGUUGAGGUACUGGUCGACAGGUUGGCCUCUCGUGAGGUUCUGGACUCCUUCAAAAGCCACAAACUCGAUGAUGGUCUUCUGGAAAAGCUGAAUGAAACACUGAAUACUGUCAACGGACUACUCGACGAUGCGGAGGAGAAGCAGAUUACAAAGCGUGCUGUGAAGAACUGGCUUAAUGAUGUUAAACACGCUGUGUAUGAAGCUGAGGACAUAUUGGAUGAGAUUAAUUAUGAAUAUCUACGAUCCAAGGACAUUGAUACCCCUCGACCUGACAGCAAUUGGGUAAGCAUAAGUUCUUGCACCUAUAGACCUUGCUUCCUCAUAAAAUGUUUUUUUUUUUUUUUUAACUUUCAUGUAUGCUCUCAAGUCUGUAAACGAGGAAAAAAUAAUUUUAGGGAUGGUUGUUGUCUUUCUGUGAGUUUUAAUUAAAGAGUAUUCAUUGUUAUGCAUGCAACUAAUAUCAUUGGCUUUUGGUGUCUAUGGCGUAAUUAUGCUUGCAAAUUCUCAUUUAUUAAUUAGUUUUCUAGACAUUUAAUCACUAUCUUUUUAAAACUUGAAUUUUACUGCGUGCAUUAAGUUAGCAUCAACAAUUGUAAAUUCUUGAAAAAGAUCUGUAGAAAGAAAACUUAUUAAUUCUCUAGAUGUAAAAAUCUUAAUGUUUAUGUUUUGAUAUUAAAAAAUUAUAAUGUUAUCCUGAAUUCUAUCUCAUAUAUUUAGUCCACCAUUGCAGGCAAGGAAUCUGGUUCCAUUUCUAAAUCCAGCUAAUAGAAGGAUGAAAGAGAUUGGAGCAGAGUUACAAAAGAUCUAUGAGAAGCUUGAACGUUUACUUAAACACAAGGGUGAUCUGCGCCACAUAGAAGGUACUGGUGGAUGGAGACCAUUGUCAGAGAAAACAACUCCACUGGUUAAUGAACCUGAUGUAUAUGGAAGGGACGCUGAUAAGGAAGCCAUAAUGGAGCACUUGCUGACACAACACAAGACAGAUGGCCCAAAUUUAGUUGUGGUUCCUAUUGUGGGCAUGGGCGGGAUUGGUAAAACCACUCUUGCUCAGCUUAUCUACAACGACGAAAAGGUAGAUCAGUUCUUCCAACUCAAGGCCUGGGUCUGGGCUUCUCAACAAUUUGACGUCACCAGGAUUAUUGAGGAUAUUAUUAAGAAGAUCAAAGCAAGGACUUGCCCCACCAAAGAACCAGAUGAAUCCAAAGAACCAAAUGAAUCUCUAAUGGAGGCAGUGAAAGGGAAAAAACUUCUACUUGUUCUAGAUGACGCGUGGAACAUCGAGUACAAUGAAUGGGAUAAAUUACUGCUACCUUUGCGGUAUGUGGAGCACGGAAGUAAGAUUGUCGUGACAACACGGGAAGAAGAUGUAGCAAAAGUCACGCAGACUGUCAUCCCCUCUCACCGCUUGAAUGUAAUAAGCGAUGAAGAUUGCUGGAAGUUGUUUGCAAGGGAUGCAUUUAGUGGUGUAAAUUCUGGAGCAGUCUCACACUUGGAAGAAUUUGGCAGAGUAAUAGUGAGAAAGUGCAAAGGUUUACCGCUGGCAGCGAAAACUCUUGGGGGUCUUUUGCACUCCGUAGGAGAUGUCAAGCAAUGGGAGAAGAUAUCCAAUAGCAGUAUGUGGGGUUCGUCGAAUGAAAACAUCCCUCCAGCUCUAACAUUGAGCUAUUAUUAUCUCCCUUCACACCUGAAACGUUGUUUUGCUUAUUGUGCAAUAUUUCCCAAGGAUUAUGUAUUCAAGAAGGAUAGAUUAAUCACUGAAUGGAUGGCACAUGGUUUUCUAGUCCAGCCCAGAGGCGUUGAGGAGAUGGAAGAUAUAGGUGAAAAAUACUUUAAUGAUCUUGUCUCCAGGUCACUUUUCCAGCAAUCCACUGGUGAUUCUUUUUUCAGCAUGCAUGACCUCAUAAGUGAUUUAGCUGAAUACGUGUCAGGAGAAUUUUGCUUCAAGCUUGGUAUUAAUGAAUCGGGCUCUGGGUUGGAGAGUGAACAUUCAUGCUCGCUUCCAGAAAGGACUCGUUAUUUAUCAAUCACUUCAGCGGCAGCAUAUGGCGGAGGACUUCGGAUUUUUCGUAGCAUUCAUGGAGUCCAACAUUUGCGCGCCUUGUUUCCACUGAAGUUUUUUGUGGAAGUUGAUAUUGAGGCACUGAAUGACAUUUUGCCAAAUCUUAAGCGCUUGCGAAUGCUAUCUUUAUGUCAUCCAAAAGAUAUUUCUUCUCAGUUGCUCAAUUCCAUUGGCAACUUAAAACAUUUGCGGCACUUGGACCUUUCUCAGACAGUAUUUAAACGGUUGCCCGAAAGUGUGUGCACCUUGUACUAUUUGCAAAGCUUAUUGUUAAAGGAGUGCCGACUUCUCAUGGAGUUGCCAUCCAACCUUUCCAACUUGGUCGACUUACAACAUCUUGAUAUUGAAGGGACAAAUUUGAAAGAGAUGCCACCAAAAAUGGGGAAACUCACGAAGCUUCGAAUUUUGGAAUCUUACAUCGUGGGAAAAGAUAGCGGGUCUAGCAUGAAAGAGUUGGGGAAGCUCUCACACAUAAGGAAAAAACUUUCUAUUCGGAAUCUCAGAGAUGUUGCAAAUGCUCAAGAUGCUUUGGAUGCCAAUUUGAAGGGUAAGAAGAAGAUUGAGGAGUUGGGGUUGACGUGGGAUGGCAGUACGGAUGACACACCACACGAGAGAGAUGUACUUGAGAAAUUGGAGCCUUCUGAAGAUGUGAAAGAGCUUGCCAUUAUUGGUUACGGGGGUACAACGUUUCCAGGCUGGCUUGGAAACUCUUCUUUCUCAAAUAUGGUAACGUUGCUUCUUUCUGGAUGUACGAACUGCAUCCUCUUACCACCAUUGGGGCAGCUGCCAUCUCUAGAAGAGCUCGAAAUUGAAGGAUUUGAUGAAGUCGUGGCAGUUGGUUCUGAGUUCUAUGGAAGUGACCCUCCAAUGGAGAAGCCAUUUAAAUCCCUCAUAACAUUAAAGUUUGAGGGGAUGAAGAAAUGGCAGGAAUGGAAUACAGAUGUAGCUGGUGCUUUCCCUCAUCUUGAAAAUCUCUUGAUAGCAGGUUGUCCAGAGUUAACAAAUGGCUUGCCUAAUCACCUUCCUUCUUUAUUGAUACUUGAGAUUCGAGCGUGUCCGCAGCUUGUGGUUUCAAUUCCAGAGGCUCCCCUGCUCAGAGAAAUCAAUGUAUCUGAGGGAGAUGAAAGUCGUAUAACUGGUCGUACGUCGUCCUAUUAUUGCUACUACUUACCAGAUCAACCACCCAAGUGCCUUCAUUUUAGACGAGAUCCCCAGCUAACGGGAAUGGAGCAAAUGAGUCAUUUGGAUCCCCGUCUUUUCACUGAUAUCAAAAUCGAGGAAUGUAGUUCAUUUAAGUGCUGCCAGCUAGACCUUUUACCCCAGGUCACCACACUUACCAUUGAACAUUGUCUCAAUCUGGAAUCCCUAUGUAUAGGCGAGAGACCUGUCCCUGCUCUCUGUCGUCUGACAAUCAGUCACUGUCCUAAUUUGGUGUCUUUCCCCAAAGGAGGACUAGCUGCCCCGGAUUUGACAAGCCUUGUGUUAGAGGGUUGCUUAUAUUUGAAGUCGUUGCCGGAAAACAUGCGUUCCCUCCUACCUUCCCUACAGGAUUUGCAAUUGAUCUCACUUCCAGAAGUUGAUUCGUUUCCUGAAGGAGGUUUACCCUCCAAUUUAAACACACUUUGCAUUGAAGAUUGUAUCAAACUCAAGGUAUGUGGUUUGCAAGCACUCUCUUCUCUUUCAUACUUCGAAUUUAGUGGGAACGAUGUGGAGUCUUUUGACGAGGAGACGUUGCCCUCUACUCUCACAACCCUUAAAAUCAAACGUCUGGGAAACCUGAAGUCUCUGGACUAUAAGGGGCUUCAUCACCUCACCUCUCUUCAGGGAUUGGGUAUCGAGGGUUGCCCUAAGCUUGAGUCCAUAUCAGAGCAGGCGCUUCCCUCCUCCCUUGAAUACCUUUAUCUCAGAAAUCUAGAAUCUCUGGACUACGUGGGGCUUCAUCACCUCACCUCUCUUGACACAUUGAAGAUCAAGAGUUGCCCUAAACUUGAGUUCGUAUCAGAACAGGUGCUGCCCUCCUCCCUUGAAUACCAGGGGCUUCAUCACCUCACCUCUCUUAGAAAUUUGAGUAUCGAGAGUUACCCUAAACUUGAGCACAUAUCAGAACAGGGGCUGCCCUCCUCCCUUGAAUGCCUUCAUCUCUGUAAACUGGAAUCUUUGGACUACAUUGGGCUUCAGCACCUCACCUCUCUUCACAAAAUGAAGAUCGGGAGUUGUCCUAAACUUGAAUCGUUGCAGGGGCUGCCUUCCUCCCUUGAAUUCCUUCAGUUAUGGGAUCAGCAAGACCGGGACUAUAAGGAACUUCGGCACCUCACCUCUCUUCGCAAAAUGAAUAUAAGAAGGAGCCUUAAGCUUGAGUACCUUCAAGAAGGCACACUUCCCUCCUCCCUUAAAGACCUUGAAAUCCAGGAUUUGGAAGAUCUGGAUUAUAAGGGGUUUCGGCACCUCAGCUCUCUUCGUAAAUUACAUAUCUGUAAUUCUCCUAAGCUCGAGUUCGUGCCAGGAGAGGAGCUGCCCUCCUCCCUUGUAUCUCUUAAAAUAUCAGGUCUGAUAAAUCUGAAAUCUGUAAUGAGGCUUCAGCACCUCACCUCUCUUCGCAAAUUGAUUAUCCGGGAUUGUCCUAAGCUUGAGUACUUGCCAACAGAAGAGCUGUCCUUACCCCUAGUUCCUGAUAUUAGUGGUUGUCCUUUUGUAGAACCGAGUUGUUGCAUUAGUUAGACCAUGUAUCUUACCCGCGCUCCGCGGCCGAGCGAUUAGUUAUAUAAUUAAAUUUAAUAAAUAGGUUUUACAAUACAUUUUUAAUAUAAAAUAUUUUUCAAUAAUAAAUAGAAAUAUCUUUACAUACAUUAGUAAUUAGAUCAAUAUUUCAUAAAAAAAUAAUUAAAAUUGAGAUAUUUAAUCUUAUAAUAUGAAUCAUGCAUUUAGUUGUGUUUAACAAUUAUAUUUCCUAGAUUUUUUUUUUUAAAAAAUACAUGGGUCAAACUAUAUAAAUAUAAUAACCUUGUGACAUGAUUGAGAUAAUUUUAUAGAAAAAAAAGUAAAAAAAAAAGAAGCACAAAUACCAAUUCCAAAAAAAAUUACAUGUUGAAGGAUGAAAUUAAAAUAACACAAGAAUACUUGAUUUCACAUCAGGUUCAUGCAUUCAGCUAUGUUUAAUAACUUUGUUUUUUAGAAUAUUUUUUUAUUUAAUCAAACAAUUAUCUAUGCAAAUAAAAGGUAAAAAAAAUCACAAAUGAAAGCAAAUAAAAUCAAAUCAUGAAGCUUAAUUAUAAAACAACUCAAUGUUGAAUGAUGAAUUUUUUAAAAAAAUAAUUAAGAAAAACAAAAAAAAUAUGAGUCAACCCUCGUUAAUCCGCUAACAUUGCGACCAUUGGCAUAUGAUUGGAAUAAACCCAUAGAGAUGAAAGUGAAAGAAAAUAAAUACAAAGACCAACUCUCAGAAAAAUUAAAUGUUGAAGGAUGAAAUUAAAAAAAAAAUACUAGAGUCAAAUCAUGUUAAUAUUUGAAACUUGUAAUUGUGAUCAUGAGACCAAGACUACUCAUGUAUGAGUCAAACCCAAAAAAACAACAAAACAAAUUUCUCAAUAAAAAAAUAUCGAGGCAUGAAACUUUCAAUAAAAAAAAAACAUGAAAACAAUAUGAAUCAACCAGGGUUAACUCGCUAACCCCGUGACCAUGGAAACAGAUCGGGAUAACCUUAUUGAAAGUAAAGUGACAGAGAAAAGCACAAAGAACAACUAUAUAAAAAAUAAACGUUGAAGGGUGAAAUUAAAAAAAAAAGAUCAUUAACCUUUAAAACUCAUGAUCAUGAUGUUGGGACUAACCAUAUAAAAAACAACAUAACAAAAUUCUCUGUAUAAAAAAGUUGAGGCAAGAAACUUAGUAAAAAAAGCAACAUAAAAUAUCUGAGUCAACUAUGUAACCACGAGUAUAUAAUUUAAAUAAUCUUAUAGAAAGGAAAGAAAAAACAAAACAUGAAAACCAAUUUCAUAAAAAUUAAAUAUUGAAGAAUAAAAUUGAAAAAAAUAAAUUUCUAUCAUUAAGAAACCAAAAUCAACCCGUGCAAACCUUUAAAAGCCAUGUCAAAAAAAAAAGCUAAGUGAUGAAAUCUUUAAAAAAAACCAAUAAAAAAAAUUCAAAACAUAAUAAAUAUAAGUAAAAAAAAAUAGAGAUCAAAUUCGAUACUAAAAAUUAAAAAUCAAAUAAAGAGGAAUAAAAUCGAAACAAUAUCUAAUUAGUUGAAGGAUUUAAAAAUAUCAAAAGAAAUAGUGCUAAGUUUUAUAUAAAAAUAAAAUAAAAUAAAAUGAUUAGAGAUAAAUAGCAAUGAAUACUAUUUUUAUAAAAUAAAAAUUAAAAAAACUGUAGAAAAACACAAUAAAAAUAUAAAAACUAUAUGUAAUAUAAGUGUUAACCGCACGUAUCAAACAUUGGUUCCAAACAAAACUAGAAAAUAAAAAAACUAGACACCUGCAUCAUCACGUCCAAACCUGCCUAAAAGGCAGAAAAAACUGCACAUGCAUUUGCAAUACCAUGCCACAACCAAAUCAAUCUUACCAAAAACAUCCUUUAUUCAUCAUUAAAGGUCCUCUUGUGAACAAAACAUAAAAACAUAGUGAAAACAAAAAGAUUGGUUUCAAUGGCAAAUGCAUAAGCAAAAAAUAUUCAAAUCAAUGUAGAAAUCAUAAAGAGAGCAACGGAAGGACAAAAAUCGAUCAAAAAACCCUCACUGACAGAAGAAACAACACACUUUCACCUCAUGUGUUCUCCAUCGGUUUGUUUAAGAAAAAAAAGACGAGCUGCAGCAUCACCACCUCCAUCCUCUCUCAUAAGCUUCUUCUUCUCCAAUGUGCAUACCUUUUUGGUUCACACAUGUUCUAUGCCUCCUCUCCCUCUUCUAAAUCAUGACUACAAGUGAAGAAAACAACUCUAAUCCCACCCAAAAACAAUGUUCUAAUACCAAAUUUGAUAUGAGACAAAAGAGAUUUAAAGUUAAAGAAGAGAAAAAAAAAGUCAAAGAAAGAGAAAAAAAACUGAUAAAGACUAAAACCCUGAUUAUAACAUAUAAUUAAACUUAUAGCCCACUAAAUAAAAUAGUAAAAACAAUAAUUAAAUCAAAUCCAAAAAAUAAUGUAUGAUUAAUAAAUUUCAACUAAAAAAUUAAAUAAAUUAAACUAAAAUAUAAGUUGAAGCUCCAUCUCUUAAUGAUUUGAGCUACCCUCCAUCAUUUAUAAUCAUACAAAUACGUAAAUAGUGUUCUUUCGAGUCCGUCCCUACCACUUAUAUAUAUAUAUAUAUACAGAGAAUUUAAGUCUAGUAUUUGAACGGUUCAUAAACCUCGAUCCAUCAUGCGAUUUCUCAAGAUGACGUUGUUAUAAUUUCAAAAAACUAUUUACAGAAGAUUUAUCUUCAAGGACAAGAGUUGAAUCCUUAAUAUUUUACUUGUCAUAACUUAAUUUUGGCCCUUUGGUUUUUAAUUUAAUUUUUACAGGGUUUAAAAUGAAAAUUUAAAAGAUCAGAGAUUUAUUUCGAUGAAAAGUGUGAUUUGUCAAACUUCCGUGAAAAUUAAGGAUUACAAUGUGUUUUUGUCAUUCUAUCUUUAUCUUCAAGAUAAUCCCUAUCUUCAAGAUAAUCUUUAUCUUCGAGAUAAUCCUUGUUUUUAAGAUAAUGAUAGUUAUCCGAUUUCAAAUUUGAUUCUUAAUCAAAUUCAAACUUCAAAGAAGAGAAUGAGUUUGAUUGAAACUUGGUUUCUCACACGCGAAAGGACUCUGACACUAUAAAUACAGAUUUCAGGGUAUGAAAAAAAGAAGAGAGGAUGAUUAGGGAGAGACCCUAAAGAAACAGGGAAAAAACCCAGGAAAAGGCCAUUGUAAAAGAGAUUUAAAGUUAAAGAAGAGAAAAAAAAAUCAAAGAAAGAGAAAAAAAACUGAUAAAGACUAAAACCCUGAUUAUAACAUAUAAUUAAACUUAUAGCCCACUAAAUAAAAUAGUAAAAACAAUAAUUAAAUCAAAUCCAAAAAAUAAUGUAUGAUUAAUAAAUUUCAACUAAAAAAUUAAAUAAAUUAAACUAAAAUAUAAGUUGAAGCUCAAUCUCUUAAUGAUUUGAGUUACCCUCUAUCAUUUAUAAUCAUACAAAUACGUAAAUAGUGUUCUUUCGAGUCCAUCCCUACCACUUAUAUAUAUAUAUAUACAGAGAAUUUAAGUCUAGUAUUUGAACGGUUCAUAAACCUCGAUCCAUCAUGCGAUUUCUCAAGAUGACGUUGUUAUAAUUUCAAAAAACUAUUUACAGAAGAUUUAUCUUCAAGGACAAGAGUUGAAUCCUUAAUAUUUUAAUUUUCAUAACUCAAUUUUGGCCCUUUGGUUUUUAAUUUAAUUUUUACAGGGUUUAAAAUGAAAAUUUAAAAGAUCAGAGAUUUAUUUCGAUGAAAAGUGUGAUUUGUCAAACUUCCGUGAAAAUUAAGGAUUACAAUGUGUUUUUGUCAUUCUAUCUUUAUCUUCAAGAUAAUCCCUAUCUUCAAGAUAAUCUUUAUCUUCGAGAUAAUCCUUGUUUUUAAGAUAAUGAUCGUUAUCCGAUUUCAAAUUUGAUUCUUAAUCAAAUUCAAACUUCAAAGAAGAGAAUGAGUUUGAUUGAAACUUGAUUUCUCACACGCGAAAGGACUCUGACACUAUAAAUACAGAUUUCAGGGUAUGAAAAAAAGAAGAGAGGAUGAUUAGGGAGAGACCCUAAAGAAACAGGGAAAAAACCCAGGAAAAGGCCAUUGUAGAAACCCUAUAAAAAAAAAUAAAAAAAACAUUUAUAAAAAAAAAAAGAGCGCGGCCGAAUCCUUAACUAGCCGCCGCACCCUCCCCCCAGCUUUUUCCUCUCUUCUUCCCUGGUCCCAAACCAGCUAUUAAACGCUCCUAUUCAUUGAUUUUCUUUCCGCCAAUCUCAACGCCAAGGAGCUGCAACUCCUCAUAAAAAUAAAAAUAAAAAGUCUUUCUCCCUCCCAGUCACCGACCUUCAGCCUCUCUUCCCCGCUCUCACUCUCCCCGUUAACCACCAUCCUUCAUCUCAGCCUCCUCACCGAGAACACAAGCCUCCACCCAUCAAUCCUCAGCCACAGGGAAACCGAAGGAAACCAUACACAGACAGCCCUUUCACUUCCUUUUUCUGCGACCGAUCGAUCCCUCAAACUGACCACACACGGUCUUCUUCCCCCAUCCGCAAUAUUUCUCUUUCUUCCCUAGCCGACUACCAUGAGCAACGGAGAAGCAGCACCCGAAGACCCAAUGGUUCCAGCCACAGGCAGCUGCAAAAACAGAGAAGAGUUUUCCUCAGAACUCAGCUGCAGCAGCAAAAGUCGUGUGGUGUAGUUUUUUUUCCUUCCUCCAGCGGUGCAGUUUCUUCAUGCACAAGAACCGUGAGGCUCCAGCAUGGCAGCCAUGGACUGUCUAGCCUCCAUUGAAGUAACGCUUAGAAGCACUCUUCUCGCCAGCCUUUGCACCAGCAGUGAACAUCAGCAGUUUUUUAGCUCCAACAGCCACUCCUCUCUCCCCACCGUGCUCUUCCUGCCAGCGUCCACUAGUUCCUCGAUCGGGAGAAGAUCCUGCUCCACCGGGGUCAGCUUCCUCUUUUCUCUUCCGGCCGUGGCUCUAGCCAUCGCUAGUGUCAGUGAGUCGCUUCCCCUCCUGUAUUACAAUUCACGUUAGUAGCUGUGAAUUAUAGUUCACUUGCUACUGUAGCAACUGAACUAUAAUUCACUUGCCUCAACCGGGUCACUGGCUUAGGCCAGUGACCAGACCGGGGAGGUUGGGUCUACACAGCCAUGCAGGCUGGGUCAGACCCACCCAAAAUAAAUAAAUAAAAAAACAUAAUAAAAAAAUAGUUUUUUUUAUUCAGAUUUUUGUGGGUUUAUUCACUGGCGUCAGAGUCAGGAAUUAUACCGUAUUUUGUGGAUUGCACAAUAUUUAUCAACGCCAGAGUUGGAAAUAUUCAUAGUUCACUGGCGCCAGAGUCAGGGAUUAUACCGUAUUUUGUGGAUUGCACAAUAUUUACCAACUCCAGAGUUGGAAAUAUUCAUAGUUCACUGGCGUCAGAGUCAGAAAUUAUACCGUAUUUUGUGGAUUGCACAAUAUUUACCAACGCCAGAGUUGGAAAUAUUCAUAGGUAAAUAUUCAAUGAUGUCAGAGUUGGGGAUAUUAUAGGAUGACCAUAAGAACAGAACACAAACAAACCUUUAGCAAUUUUAGACAAAAUCAGCAAUGCAGCCUGCCUCAGGCAGGACGCUUAAGGGGUGAUAGCAUCUUCCCUUUCGCGUAACCAAUCCCGGAUCAUAAAAUCUCUAUUGACCAGUUAGGGUUCCUAGUGACCAUAAUACUAGGUGGUGACUCCUUAAACAAGACCUUUCCCCCUAAAAGAACAAGAUGUCAGAUAUCUGUUCUUAUUCCAUUUGUGAUUAAUUUUUAAUCAGUCGUCGCGAUGUCCGGGUGUGACAUUACUGUCAGUUCUAUUUAUGUGCUUGAUAAAGUUAAUUAAUUUAGUUAUAUAAUUAUCUUUAUCCUAUAUAUUUAUUAGUUUGUAUACAUGAAGUAUAUCUUAAUCACGUCACAUUAAAUCAAACGUUAGCAUUUAUAUGCCAACAUUAAUAGUGAUAAAGUUAAUUAAUUCGAAGCUUUUACAUACAAAAUAUACUUUGAAAAUCACUUUAUAAAUCUCAUAAUGGUAAUAUCACAUUAAUAGUGAAAGAUCUACGUACUCAACCAUGCAUGAUGUCAAAAGUUUUCCUUGACGAACAUGCCACGUCACUUUUUCAUUUACUUAGCUAAUCUAUUUCCAUAAGAAGCAAAAGAUUCUGUAUAAAAUUUUUCUAUAAAUACAUUUUGUAUUUUAAUUUUUUGUUUUAAAAGUGUUUUUAAAAGAAAUUAAAAUUUUUUAAUUUUUUUAAAAGAACUUUUUAUAUUUUUAUAUUGUUGAAUAUGCUGAUUUUAAAAAUAAAUUCUAAAAAUUAAAAAAUAUAUUAUUUAAAUAUAUUUUGAAAAAACAACUGUAUUUUUGCAGGAAAAACACCUAUAAAUUAACAUUUUUAGCCCGUGACGGUGACAUGCAGUUCUACCCAUGACGGUGGCGGGGAGUCCUGCCAAUUGUACAUGUCGGAUCCUUCUUGCCCGUGACGGUGACGGGCAAUCUCGCCGGUCAUUUCAGUAUGGCCCCAGGUGAAAACAUUUGGCUUUUUUUAAUUACAGAAAAUUUAACCAUGUAUAUAUUUAUUUAUAUUUGCGUUCAUGUGCUAAAUUCUUGAAGAACUCAAUGGAUGCUGAAAUUAAAGAUUCUUGGCGUUACAAAUUUUCACUUGAAAGUGCAAAACUAUAAAAUCCUCCAUUGCUUUUGAAUUACAAAUCGUAACCAAUAUUUUCCAAAACCAAACCUCAAUUAAAAAAUUAAAAUGAAAUGAGUUUAUUUUUUUAAAAAAGUAUUUUUUAUUUAAAAAUAUAUCAAAAUUUAUUUUUAAAAUUUUUAUUUUAUUUUUAAUAUCAACACAUUAAAACAAUAAAAAAAUACUAAAAAAAAAUAUUAAUUUAAUACUUUUCAAGUUAAAUAUAAUUUUAAAAUAUACCCAAAUACAAUUUCAACCACAAUAUCCAACCGUCACAAACCCCUUAACUUAACCUAGAAAUUUUUUAGCAGUUAAUUAUUCUAAAAUAAUAUAUAUUAACUGAUUGAUCCUCACACUAAUAUGAAAUAUGAAUAUCUAUUGCUUUGGGCCACUCAUUUUAAAAAACAAAUAGCAAGCAGGGGUAGCAGUUUGAGAAUAGUAGGGAAGGAGGUUCUCUUUUGUAUCGGUUGAAAGUAGUGUAUAAUGAUUAUUUUUUAAUUUUUUUUUUUAAAAUAUUUUAAAAUAAUAUUUUUUUAUUUUUUAAAAUUUAUUUUUAAUAUUAAUAUUUCAAAAAAAACUGAAAACAUAAAAAAAUUAGUUUAAAGUAAAAAAAUAAAAAAAUAAUUUAUUUUAAAAAUAUAAAAAACUAGCUUUUAAUAAUUAAAAUUAGUGUUGUGCCCGCGUGAUAUGCUGCGGGAUGAAUUAAAAUGUUAUUUUCAAUGCUAAAAGGGAUGUAGUCGUCAAUAACAUAUUUUCACCCAUUUAUCAUUUGACAUGUAUUCUUAGGUAGCAUAGAUUUAAAAUUAAAUAUUUUUAAUUGAAGGAAAGUUUUUUCAUUAAAGAUUCUGAUAAGCUGAUGUACAAGAAAUAAAUAUUUCAGAGAAGAAAAAUGUCAAAAUAUUAUGAUUUAUUAUUUAUUUAAUUAUAUAAUAAAAAAAAUAAACAUGUGCAUGAGAGAUAAAUAAUAAAAUAAGAAAAACAUGAAGAACUACAUAAAAGAAGAGCUUGUUUAUGUUAUAAAUAAAUGCCACAAUCUUAAUAAAAAUAGAGUAAAAACCAAACAUUAUAUGAAAAAAUAAUAUCCUGAAUAUGUUUUUAGUAGUUUAAUUCUAAGGAAUUUAAAUUUAAAUUGAGGGAAAAAAAACUUCUUAACAAAAUAAAACUUAUGAUGUUAGUUGUUACACCAACAUUAAACAUGCUCGAAAACAACUUCUUUUUCAAAGCAUGCAAUUAUAUGGAACCAAAUUAAUUUAUAAUUUUUUUAUUUAAAAAAAAUAAUUAAAAAUUUGUAUUAAUAUACUGAUAUCAAAAAUAAUUUUUUUUUUAAAAAAAAUAUUUUAAUAUAUUUCUUACUAAAAAAUACUUUAAACUAUUAUCGCUAUUAUAAUUCCAAACAGUUAAUCAAGCUGAUUGUUAUAUUACUCCUCAUGGAACCAAAUCAAUCCAUAACUUACGAGAUUUAUUGCAACUCUUGCUUACUUUUGUAUUCCAUAACCUAUGCUUGCUUUCAAAUGUGUGUGUGUGUGUGUGUGUGUGUGUCAAAGGCUCUCCCUGUGAUUUUCAACUUUCCUUUCACUCUUAAUUUACAAACAUGUUUGUCGUUCAGAGUAAGUAUCUCAGCUCACUAUUUUCGAGUUCUGGUUCUGCAUAACAGAGGAGCAUGAGAUUCUUAACGCCAGCGUCCAACGUUAACCGAGCAUAGAUAAUUGGGUUUCCGGGACAAAUGAAACGACAAGUCGACGUCAAAAAAUUGUGCUAAUAAAUUUUGCUCUUCUUUUUUAAAUCCUUUUCCUUCAGAAGAUUUGAGGAACGACUUGGUAGAGUGAUGCUUGGAGGAGCAAUAUAAUUCUUUUUUAAAUCCUUCUCCGUCAUAGAUCUAAGACAUGGAGAAAUUAAAAUUAAUACUUGAAUCCAAGGUUGUUAAAAAUGUUUUUUUAACACCAUACGAAAUAUAUAAUAUAAACUCGGAUGGUAAAAUUAUAAAUAAAAUAUUUUAACUAAUUAUAUAUUAACAAUUCCAAUCAAGUAGUAAAUAAUAAUAUAACACAAUUAAAAUAAAAGUGAAAUAAACAAUACAAAUAUUCAAACAUCUUAAAAUACAUGAUUCAAAUAAAAAUUCAUACAUGGUUUAAAUAACUUAACAAUACAAUAUAACACAAUUAUGUCCAUAGAAUUUCAUUAACAAACCUAAAACAAACAAUUUGUUGGUGUGUCUUGUAACUAAACACAACCUCAUUACCUUUAUUUUCCUCAUGAUUCCUAAAAUAUUCAUUAAAAUAAUUACUAUCUAAAAAAUUAUUAUUACUACUACUAAUAUCAGCAUCGAUAUUGUGAACAUUAAUGCUACUACUACUAAUAUAAAAAAUUGAUGAUGAUCUAUCUCUUCUUUUAUUUUCUAUAAAACACUUAUUUAUAUUUAAAUUCAACUUGAUUUUACCGGUCAAUCCAAUAACUUAUUUAUUCAUAUCAUAAUUUAUAUCAAGUCUUAUAUUAAAUUAGAUGAGAGUUAAUUAUAUAUUAGCCAAAAUAAAUAAAAAAUUUAGGAUACCGAAUGUUGAAAUGACAUUUAAAGAAUUAAAUUAAAUCAUCAUAAUUAAUAAUUAUUUUUUUAAAAUAAAACUAUAUAAAUUGAAGGCGAAGUGGCCUUGGUAUAAAAGGAAAGCAAAACAUAAGGCCUCACUGUUUUCAGCCUUUUUCUUACCAAAAUAUCCUCUUCUUCAUUUCCUUUCUCUAACCCCUCUCUCUCUCCCUCCCUCUCUCUCUCUCUCUCAUUUGGGAUCCAAAUAAUAAGAAUUGGCUCCUCCCAGAAGGCGAAUGGUACAACGGGAAAACCCUGCGUAGCAAAGCCAAGCUUGGAAAAACCACCUAAAGCUAAGACUGCUUUUUGGGUGUUGCUCUUGAGAGAGAGAUUAACAUAGUGUGGAAGACUGGAAGUUGUGGUGUUGCUACGGCAAAAGAGGAAGGGGAAAGGGGAGCAGGGACUCGGGAGGGACUCAAGGAGAAUACAGUACACUGUAUUUUGUAAAUUGUAACUUUUGUUAAACUCGUAAACUCGUUCUGAGUUGACCGAGUUAAUCGAGUUUAACCGAGUUUGACCGAGUUAGCUCAUUUUCAAGUUUUGAAUCCAAUUCUACAUGUUAUAUAUGAGUUGACUCGUAAAAUCAUACGAUUUUAUGAGUCAACUCGCGAGUUUAAUAACAUUGCAUGGGUCCUUGAGGUCAAGUUUCCCAGCUGUCUCCCUUGAUUGGUGUUGCAAGGGGCGGAGCUAGAAUUAUUUAUUAGAAGGGUUAAAAUUAAUAUAAUAAAAUAUAAUAUUUAUUUUAAUUUAUUGUACAUGAGUUGUAAAACAAAAUCUGUAUAAUUUAGUUUUAUUCAAAUAACUUACUACAAACAUAUAAUGACCUUAUUAUAAUGUAAAAGGUUUGGAGCAAUACCAAAUUGAGUCAAAGUAAUGAAGUUAAUUUCAUCUUCAAUAUAUCCAUCACUUUAAUGUUGUUAGUCUUUAUAUCUAUCAAAUAUAAACAUACAAAGUAUAUAAGAAACAUUAGCUAAAGCGAAGCAUUAUUUAUGUUUGAUAAACUUUGAAAUAAAAUAAAAAAUAAUAAAGAAUAAUUCUUAUAUAUUUAUUUUAAUUGUGCUUGUCGUUCUUUCAUAAAAUAGAAAUCAUCGAUUAUCAUAUCAAUUGUGAAUCUUUCAACAAUUGCUUUUUCUAUAUAGACAAUCAAAUAGUUUACAAGAAAAUCAUCCUCCAUCCGAUUGUGAAAUCUUGUUUUAACAAUCUUUAUCGCUGAAAAAGCUCAUUUAGUAGUUGUUGUCGAAACAUGAAGAGUCAAAAUAAGUCGAAUCAACCUGUCAACUAGCGGAUAAAUUGUUGAUUUUUCUGUUUCAACCAAUCUUCGACAUAAAUCAACAAUCAAUGACAUGUUCUUUAACUUUGGAUGAUUGGGUACAUGAUUGGAUGACAUGUUCUAAAAUCAAAACUUAUAUCAUGAGAAAAAAUUGAUAAUUUUGAUGGCUUUGCUUAAAACAAAACAUAAAAAAAAUCUAAGUAUAAUCAAAACAAAACAAUAAAAUAUAUCUAAUUAAUUAGAAAAAAAUCACCAUAACAAGAAUUCAAAAAACAAUUGGUAGAACUGGCAGAUUUGAGGAAAAAAAUUAGCAAAAAUGGUAGAAUUAUAUAAAAAAACCUCAUCAAAUUAUUAACAAACAUCUCAAAAUAAAACAAAAAUAGAUUUUAAAUUUAGGUUACCUUAUUUUAUUUGAUGAAAGAUAAAUUAAUUGGUAACUCUGCUUCAAUUUUUUUGUAGAAAAAUUUUACUCAUAAUUUGUGUUUUUAUCGGCUGCAAGAUUUAUAUUAGGGCUACACAAGAUAAUGACUUUAUAUUUUUUUUAAGAGUAAAUAAAAAAUCAAAAGUAAAGUUACAUUUAAUUACUGGUAAUAAGAACACCUGUUUAAAAUAAAAAAAUUCUAUUAAUUAAAUUUUGUAAAAAUAAAGUAAAAUUAUUAUAAAUAACUUGGAAAAUAAUUUAUGUGUGUAUCUUGUUCAAUGAAAGGAACCAUACAUGAAAUGCAACCACCUAGAAGACAGAACAAGCACAAAAAUAAAAUUUAAAAGGAAAACCUGUUUGGCAAGAUUACAAGCACGAUCUAUCUUGGGGGCCCCGGGCCCUGCUCCCCCCUGCCUGCACUGCUGCCUCUACAAAUUCCCGUGGGCUUCCUAUUAAUUAGAUCGAUCUAUUGAAGAACUCCACUCUCCUGUCAUUGCUCGUGACGUAGACCUCUGACGAAAGGUUGAAUGAAGACAAAAAAUGAGCUAGAAAUGCGUGGAAAGUUUAAAGUGUUUUGAUAUUAAAACUUACUAUUAAUAUUUUAUGGAUGUCCACUUGAAGAUAAUUAAUAUAGUCUUAAUUCUUCACUUGAUAAUAUCUUAAUCCUAUUAAUUAAAAUAAAGUCUUAACACCGACUGUAAAUAUAAUAAUAUAAUUAAUUUAAUAUUGCAAGGAGGAAGGCUUCCAUUAUUUUGCGUUUCUUUCUUUGUUUUUUCCUUUGAACCCUACGUGCUCUCUUAUUCUCUCCUUCACGCAAUUAAAAGGAAUUUUGACCAAAAAAAUAUAUAUAUUCCUCGUUACUUUGAAUGAUUAGAAUUCUUGAGAAUAUUGAUUUUAAUUAGUUUAAAAAAAAUAUGAGAUGAAGAUUUUGACAAAAAAAAUAUUUUUUUAAUAAAAUUUAAAUAAUUCAAACUCUUUUAAAUAUUUAUUUUAAAAAUUAAUUAUAAAAACGGUCGAGCUGCCUUUGUCUAUUUUCUCUAUUCUAAUAUUUAAUGCAUCCAUAUUAUCGUUAAUUUAAAUAACUCUUAAUUUUCAGUAUGCAUUUAACACAUUUCUGUAUGCAUUUAUCUUUUGUUUUUUUAUUAGAAAAACCAACUUUUUAAUUUUAACAUCCAUAAUAAUUUUAUCGGUUUAACUGUUUAUAUACUUUUAACUUUAUUGUAUUAAACACAAAAAUUAUCUUUUUAUUAAUGAUUAACAAAUUUAUUUAUACAUAUCGGUUCCUUAAUCGUGGAGCGCUGAUAAAAUAUAAUAUAAUUAAUAUAAUAUUGUUAUUAAUAUAAUAUAAUGAUUAACAUUUUGAAGUUUUUGGGAACGCGGUUUGCACCGCGUUCCCAAACGGUUUCUCCAGCUUCCACGAGUUAUCAUGCAAUUCAGUGGCUUAUUAGCAUUCUACUACCAUCAUUCUCUCUCACAGAAUCACCCUCACCCUCUCGCAAAAAUCCACCAAGGCUCCUGCUUUCCACUUCUCUUUUUCUCUCACGUAUUCCCACCCUCACCCUUUCUGCAAAAAUCCACCAUGGCUCUGGAGUUGAUCGGAGGAUCAUUUCUCUCUCCUGUCAUUCAGGUUUUGGUCGACAGGUUGGCCUCUCGUCAGGUUCUGGGCUUCUUCAAAAGCCAAAAACUCGACGAUGGUCUUCUGGAAAAGCUGAAUGAAACACUGAAUACUGUCAACGGACUACUCGACGAUGCGGAGGAGAAGCAGAUUACAAAUCGUGCUGUGAAGAACUGGCUUAAUGAUGUUAAACAUGCUGUCUAUGAAGCCGAGGACAUAUUGGAGGAGAUUGAUUAUGAAUAUCUACGAUCCAAGGACAUUGAUGCCCCUCGACCUGACAGCAAUUGGGUAAGCAUAGUUCUUGCACUUGUAGACCUUGCUUCCUCAUAAAAUGUCUGUAAAUGAGGAAAAGAUAAUUUUAGGCAUGACUGUUGUCUUUCUGUGAGUUUUAAUUAAAGAGUAUUCAUUGUAUAUUAUAUAUGCAACUAAUAUUAUUGGCUUUUCGUGUGUGUGCUGAAAUUACGCUUGCAAAUUCUCAUUUAUUAACUAGUUUUCUAAACAUUGGCUUUGGAUUUUUAAAAUCUGAAUUAUUUAUAUAAAUUUUGUCAAUUUUAAUUAAAUUAUAUUUUUAUUUGAGACAAAAAUUAAUUUCAUUAUAUUUAUAAAAAUAAUAUAAUAUGAUAUGAUAAGGGCUGUGAAAAUCACUAAUGACAUUUAAUCAAUAUCUUUUUAAAACUUGAAUUUUACAAUUGUAAAUUCUUGAAAAGAUCUGUAGAAAGAAAAUGUUUAUAUUAAGUUAGCAUCAACGAUUUAAUGGCGUUAACUUAUUGCAGGUAAGGAAUCUGGUUCCACUUCUAAAUCCAGCUAAUAGAAGGAUGAAAGGGAUGGAAGCAGAGUUACAAAGGAUCCUUGAGAAGCUUGAACGUUUACUUAAACGAAAAGGUGAUCUGCGCCACAUAGAAGGUACUGGUGGAUGGAGACCAUUGUCAGAGAAAACAACUCCACUGGUUAAUGAAUCUCAUGUAUAUGGAAGGGACGCUGAUAAGGAAGCCAUAAUGGAGUACUUGUUGACAAAAAACAAUAUAAAUGGCGCAAAUGUAGGUGUGAUUCCUAUUGUGGGCAUGGGAGGGGUUGGUAAAACCACUCUUGCUCAGCUUAUCUACAAAGACAGAAGGGUAGAGGAGUGCUUCGAGCUCAAAGCCUGGGUCUGGACUUCUCAACAAUUUGAUGUUGCCAGGAUUAUUAAGGAUAUUAUUAAGAAGAUCAAAGCAAGGACUUGCCCCACCAAAGAACCAGACGAAUCUCUAAUGGAGGCAGUGAAAGGGAAAAAACUUCUACUUGUUCUAGAUGACGCGUGGAACAUCGAGUACAAUGAAUGGGAUAAAUUACUGCUACCUUUGCGGUAUGUGGAGCACGGAAGUAAGAUUGUCGUGACGACACGGGAUGAAGAUGUAGCAAAAGUCACGCAAACUGUCAUCCCCUCUCACCGCUUGAAUGUAAUAAGCGAUGAAGAUUGCUGGAAGUUGUUUGCAAGGGAUGCAUUUAGUGGUGUAAAUUCUGGAGCAGUCUCACACUUGGAAGCAUUUGGCAGAGAAAUAGUGAGAAAGUGCAAAGGUUUGCCGCUGGCAGCGAAAACUCUUGGGGGUCUUUUGCACUCCGUGGGAGAUGUCAAGCAAUGGGAGAAGAUAUCCAAGAGCAGGAUGUGGGGUUUGUCGAAUGAAAACAUCCCUCCAGCUCUAACAUUGAGCUAUUAUUAUCUCCCUUCACACCUCAAACGUUGUUUUGCUUAUUGUGCAAUAUUUUCCAAGGGUUAUAAAUUCGAGAAGGAUGGAUUAAUCACUGAAUGGAUGGCACAAGGUUUUUUAGUUCAGUCCAGAGGCGUCGAGGAGAUGGAAGAUAUAGGUGAAAAAUACUUUGAUGAUCUUGUCUCCAGGUCAUUUUUCCAGCAAUCACUUUAUGCUCAAUCAGAUUUCAGCAUGCAUGACAUCAUAAGUGAUUUAGCUGAAUACGCGUCAGGAGAAUUUUGCUUUAAGCUUGGUAUUAAUGAAUCGGGCUCUGGGUUCGAGGGUGAACAUUCAUGCACGCUUCCAGAAAGGACUCGUUAUUUAUCAAUCACUUCAGCGGAAGCAUAUGACGAAGGACCUUGGAUAUUUCGUAGUAUUCAUGGAGUCCAACAUUUGCGCGCCUUGUUUCCGCAGAAUAUUUUUGGGGAAGUUGAUACUGAGGCACCGAAUGACAUCUUGCCAAAUUCUAAGCGUUUGCGAAUGAUAUCUUUAUGUCAUCUAGAACAUAUUUCUUCUCAGUUGCUCAAUUCCAUUGGCAACUUAAAACAUUUGCGGCACCUGGACCUUUCUCAGACAUUAAUUAAACGGUUGCCCGAAAGUGUGUGCACCUUGUACUAUUUGCAAACUUUAUUGUUAACAGAAUGUCAACAUCUCAUUGAGUUGCCAGCCAACAUUUCCAACUUGGUCGACUUACAACAUCUUGAUAUUGAAGGGACAAAUUUGAAAGGGAUGCCACCAAAAAUGGGGAAACUCACAAAGCUUCGAACUUUGCAAUAUUACGUCGUGGGAAAAGAGAGUGGGUCUGGUAUGAAAGAGCUGGGGAAGCUCUCUCAUAUAAGGAAAGAACUUUCUAUUCGGAAUCUCAGAGAUGUUGCAAAUACUCAAGAUGCUUUGGAUGCCAAUUUGAAGGGUAAGAAGAAGAUUGAGGAGUUGAGGUUGAUAUGGGAUGGCAAUACGGAUGACACACAACACGAGAGAGAAGUACUUGAGAGAUUGGAGCCUUCUGAAAAUGUGAAACAGCUUGUCAUUACUGGUUACGGGGGUACAAGGCUUCCAGGCUGGCUUGGAAAGUCUUCCUUCUCAAAUAUGGUAGCGUUGACACUUUCUGGAUGUAAGAACUGCAUCCGCUUACCAUCAUUGGGGCAGCUGCCAUCUUUAGAAGAGCUCCAAAUUGAAGGAUUUGAUGGAGUCGUGGAAGUCAGCUCUGAGUUCUAUGGAAGUGACUCUUCGAUGGAGAAGCCAUUUAAAUCCCUCAAAAAAUUAAAGUUUGAGGGGAUGAAAAAUUGGCAGAAAUGGAAUACAGAUGUAGAUGGUGCUUUCCCUCAUCUUGCAGAGCUCUGCAUAAGACAUUGCCCCAAGUUAACAAAUGCCUUGCCUAGUCACCUUCGUUGUUUAUUGAAACUUUUUAUUCGAGAAUGUCCGCAGCCUGUAUCUGAGGGCGAUGAAAGUCGUAUAAUUGGGAUAUCAGAAACAUCCAGUCACAGGCGGUGCCUUCAUUUUAGACGAGAUCCCCAGCUAAAGGGAAUGGAGCAAAUGAGUCAUUUGGGUCCCUCUUCUUGUUUCACUGAUAUCAAAAUCGAGGGAUGUAGUUCAUUUAAGUGCUGCCAGCUAGACCUUUUACCCCAGGUAUCCACACUUACCAUUGAACAUUGUCUCAAUCUCGAUUCCCUUUGUAUAGGCGAGAGACCUCUCGCUGCUCUCUGUCAUCUGACAAUCAGUCACUGUCGUAAUUUGGUGUCUUUCCCCAAAGGAGGACUAGCUGCCCCAGAUUUGACAAGCCUUGUGUUAGAGGGUUGCUCAUCUUUGAAGUCGUUGCCGGAAAACAUGCAUUCCCUCCUCCCUUCCCUACAGAAUUUGCAAUUGAUCUCACUUCCAGAAGUUGAUUCGUUUCCUGAAGGAGGUUUACCCUCCAAUUUAAACACACUUUGGAUUGUGGAUUGUAUCAAACUCAAGGUUUGUGGUUUGCAAGCACUCCCUUCUCUUUCAUACUUCAGAUUUACUGGGAACGAGGUGGAGUCUUUUGACGAGGAGACGUUGCCCUCUACUCUUACAACCCUUGAAAUCAAUCGUCUGGAAAACCUAAAAUCUCUAGACUAUAAGGAGCUUCAUCACCUCACAUCUCUUCAGAAAUUGAGUAUCGAGGGAUGCCCUAAGCUUGAGUCCAUAUCAGAGCAAGCGCUUCCCUCCUCCCUUGAAUUCCUUUAUCUCAGAAAUCUGGAAUCUCUGGACUACAUGGGGCUUCAUCACCUCACCUCUCUUUACACAUUGAAGAUCAAGAGUUGCCCUAAACUUAAGUUCAUAUCAGAACAGAUGCUGCGCUCCUCCCAUGAAUACCAGGGGCUUCAUCACCUCAUCUCUCUUAGAAAUUUGAGGAUCGAGAGUUUCCCUAAACUUGAGUCCAUAUCAGAACUGGCGCUGCCCUCCUCCCUUGAAUACCUUCAUCUCUGUAAACUGGAAUCUCUGGACUACAUUGGGCUUCAGCACCUCACCUCUCUUCACAGAUUGAAGAUUGAGAGUUGUCCUAAACUUGAAUCGUUGCUAGGGCUGCCUUCCUCCCUUGAAUUCCUUCAGUUAUUGGAUCAGC